RNAcentral lists this long non-coding RNA (78025 nucleotides) under Setaria italica (foxtail millet). Its description in RNAcentral is "long non-coding RNA (SITA_LNC007392)". Lineage: Eukaryota; Viridiplantae; Streptophyta; Magnoliopsida; Poales; Poaceae. The record is from RNAcentral.
UUUUUUUUUUUUUUUGCGAUGCAUAACCGCUUCCACCAAGCCGUCUCCGAUCUCUCCUCUCCCGUCUCCCCUAUCCCCGAUCGGACUUCUUCCGUUCGCGUCUCCCUCCGAUCCCUCUCUUUGGUGUGGCUACUCGAAGGCGAAUUCGCCACUUGUCCCUUCAAGAAUAGAGCGCAUAUGCACCUAUGGCAAAAAAGAAAAGAUUUUGUAUGCAUGCGAACAAAGACAAUAUUGAUAAUAUCAUCCACAUGCGUGCAGUUUUGAAAUUUAAAAAAUAAUAAAUCAUAAACUGAGCAUCGAAAUUAAAUUUCGAUUGCACCACUAUUUUUUACGAUAAGAUCUUUAAAACAAGAUCACACUCUGACUAUAUUUGGAUGAUUUUUUAAAAAUAUAUUUUUUAAAUAUGAAAUAUUAAAUUUGAUUACAGCGAACAAAUACUUGAAUAACCAGAACAAAUAAUUGUCUAAUAUGAAAAAAAGUUAACAGGGUGAACAAAUGAUUAUAAACAGCGAAUGAAAUACUAAACAUCAUGAAGAUUGCAUGAUACAAAUAAAAUAGAUGUAUAGUAAAUAAAAGAUUGAAAAUUUGAUUGUGUAAGAUAAGGUAGUAGAAUUUUUUUUGAAACAAAGCAAGAGCACUGCUACUUCAUUUAAGGAGAUAAAAGUUCAAAGUCACAUGUAGUUCGAUAUUACAUAAAUGGAUAAGUUCUCUAAGAUAACUCAUAAGAAAAUAAGAUACACUACCCCAACUCGGGGGAACCACGCGCUCACUGAUGCAUUGUCACCUCCUCUUGAAUCAAGUCAAACACUUGUAUUGGCCUUAGAGAUUUUCCUUCAAAAACUUGACGAUUACGUUCCUUCCAUAUAUUUCAUGUUUGUCAUGAUCAAGUAUGCAGCCACUGAUCUUCUUUGCUUCUUGCUGAAAGGCUCUAGUGAUCGUGUCCACCAUGUUUCCAUUUCAUCCUCAUCAAUUGCAGGCAUGCAGAUAGUUCCUCCCGACUAGAUGCUUACUAGCACCCAGGUUUCUUUGGCAUAACAGCAUUUCAGACAUAGGUGGACAGCUGUUUCAUUUUCCUGAUCACACAAAGGGAAAAUUAUGUGACAGUCCCAGUUUCUAGCUAUCAUCUUAUCAGCUAUUAGGGUCUUGCUCUGAAUUAGCAGCUAUGCAAAGAACUUGUGCUUAGCUUCAGUGUAGGCCCUCCAAAUGUCGCUUGCUUCAAAAGUAGUAAACGAUCCUCUGAAUUGUGCCUCAUAAGCAGAUUUUAAAGUGUAUGAGCCACUUGCCAUCCAUUUCCAUUCGAUUUGGUCCUCGUCCUCAUUGAAUUGCACGUCAUGCACCAACUCCCAAAGGGUUAUGAAUUCUGCCAUUUCCUCCAUUAUUUGCAUUCUUCAUAAACCUCUAGUCCAAUUAUGAUCAAUCAUAUCAUCCCGAACUGUUCUGUUCUUUCGCCAUGCCAGUUUGUAUAAUGGUGGAGCUAUAUCUCGAGGAGCCCUACCAUUAAUCCAGGAGCAUUGCUAGAACCUAGCCUUGUUACCAUUAACCACCGUGCUUGCUCUAAAUAGCUGCUUGUCCACUUCAUCACAUGAAGUUUUAAAUCCUACCCAAGGCUAUCAAUAUCAGUCCACUCAAACCACAACCAUCUAAGCCGAAGGGCUCUACCGAAUGCUCCAAGUUCAAGGAUGCCCAAUCCACCUAGGUUCUUUGGCAUUGUAGUUUUCUGCCAUUUUACUAAACAAUGUCCUUCACUUGCUUGCUCUGACCCUUUCCAUAAGAAAUUUCUUAUGAUUUUAUCUAUUUUCUUCAAUAUCCAUUUCUUUAGUGCAAAAGUUGUGAUGAAAUAGAUUGGCAUUGAAGUUAGCACAGACCUGACCAGUGUGAGCCUGCCAGCUUUUUUAAGGCACUUUCCCUUCCAUGCAAGAGAGUUUUGCUGCUACUUUAUCAAUGAGUGGUUGAAUUUCAAUCCUUGUUAAUUUUCUGAGGCUCGGAGGCAAAUCCAGGUAUUUGCAUGGGAAGGUUUUAAUUUGGCAUGGCAUCCUUUCCAUAAUAGAGCUGAUCUCAAGUCCCUCACAUUUGAUGGGAUGUGUAGCACUUUUGUCCAAAUUUAUUUUCAGUCUUGAUACUCUACCAAAUGCAUCAAAGAUUAUUCUUAUCAUCUCAAUUUCCUCUGUAACUGGGUUGACAAACACAACUGCAUCAUCUGCAUAUAAGCUUAUUCUGAGUUUUGCUGUUCUUCCUUGGAUUGGUGACAAGGUGGACUCAUUUUCAGGAAUUGUUAACAGCCUUUGCCGUGGCUGUAAUGCUAGGAUAAACAACAUAGGAGACAAUGGAUCUCCCUGCCGAAGGCCUGUUCGAUGCCUGAAUUUUCUAGUUUAAGACCCAUUUACUAGCACAGUUGAAGUUGCUGUAUGCAGUAGGAUAGAGGCCCAUUCCCUCCAUCUGCUCCCAAACCCCAUCUGUUCCAUAAACUCCAUCGGAUAAUCCCAUUUUACUAUGUCAAAAGCCUUUGCAAUGUCAAGCUUUAGGAACAAAGUCAGCCUUCUUUGUUUGUGUAGCUCUCUGAUCAGGUUUUGGGUGUACAAGAAGUUGUCAUGCAUGCUUUUCUUUCUUAUGAAUGCACUUUGGUUUCUUAACACUAGAUCAUUUAGGACCUGUGAUAGUAGAAUAUGAAUGUCAAGUUAGAAGAUUCUUUUAAAAUCAUACAGCUAGAACAAAUUAUACGAACUAAAAUUUUAUACGAAUCAAACAAUUUAUAUAAUCUCAUGGAACAAAAAUAAAUACACCCGAAACAAAUUAUACGAACUAAAAUAGUAGUAAACAUUGAAAUAUUAUAUGAAUUCACAGAACAAAAGAUCUAUAUACCUCGAACAAAUUGCCAGAACUCAUAGAGCAAGUAUAUAUACACCUAGAAUAAAUUAUAUGGACUUACCAAAUAUAAAUUUGUACACUUGGGAUAAAUACAUUAUGGACAUAUAACACUAUUUUAAUCCACGAGUCUAUAUGGAUGACCAGUUCAAUCAUAAAAAGGGAAUAAAUGAGUCGGUGUCACGAAUGAAUGAGUCUAUUAAACACAUAAUUUUACACUCCAAGCUAAGUAAUGAUCUUGAAUGUACAUACUGAGAAAAAUAUAUAUAAUAUUUUAAAAAAAUAAAAGAGAAAAGUAAAAAUAGAAAAGGAAAUAGAGAACGAAAAUGAAUCUAAUAAGGAAAAAAAGAAAUCUAAAUUACGUACACGAAGAAAUAUACAGAAGAGAAUCUGAGGCGCUCCAUUGGCUGGCCGCGGGGUCGAUGGCGACGCCCGGGUGGGGGGGGGGGGGUGUGGUUCGCUCUCGAGCGGGUCAGGCUCGGCGGUGGGGCUCUCCUGGAAAUAAUCGGCCAGUCUGGCCCGGGGCCCGCGGGCGAUGUGUGACGCCGACGCAGUCGGAGAUUCCAUUGCAUAACGGAGGCCCAGCCGUGUCCGAGAACGUCUUUGAUCUCCUCUCCUCCGGUCCAGCCGUCUCCCGAUCUACUACUCUCUCUUCCUUUCCGAGUCGGCUUGCCAACGGAGGCCCAGCCGCAAUAAAAAGCCCCGAGCCCCCAGCCCUCCCUACCAAACGCAGCCAGAAUCGAAGGAUUCGAGAGGCGCGCGCUUGACAAAAGAGAGCGUGCAGCGUCGAGAAACAAAAGCCUGUCUCGCUAACACAACACCAUGGCCGACGACGCAGCCGCCGCGUCGUCCUGUCCUACUCCUACCGCUACGAAGAAGAGAGCCGCGAACCGGCUGGUGGUAGAGGAGGCCACCACCGACGAAAACUCCGUCUGCAACCUCCACCCUGCAACCAUGGAGGAGCUCUCCAUCUUCUCCGGCGACAUCAUCCUGCUCAAGGGGAAGCGCCGCCGCGACACGAUCUGCAUGGCCGUGCCGGACGAGGAGUGCGGCGAGAACAAGAUUAGGAUCAACAAGGUGGUCCGCUCCAACCUCCGGGUGCGCCUCGCCGACGUCGUGUCCGUGCACCAGUGCCAUGACGCCAGGUACGGGGCGGCCGUCCACGUCCUCCCCCUCGACGAUACCGUCGAGGGCAUCACGGGGGACCUCGUCCAGGCCUACCUCAAGCCCUACUUCGACGACGCGUACCGCCCCGUCCGCAAGGGCGACCUCUUCCUCGUGCGCGGCGGCAUGAGGAGCGUCGACUUUAAGGUCGUCGACAUCAAGCCCGCCGCCGAGUACUGCAUCGUCGCGAACAACACCGAGAUCGUCUGCGAGGGCGAGCCCGUCAAGCGCGAGGACGAGGAGAGGCUCGACGACGUCGGCUACGAUGACGUCGGCGGGAUGCGGAAGCAGCUGGCGCAGAUCAGGGAGCUGGUCGAGCUGCCACUUCGUCACCCGCAGCUGUUCAAGUCGAUCGGCGUCAAGCCUCCCAAGGGCAUCCUUCUCUACGGCCCGCCCGGCUCCGGCAAGACCUUGAUCGCCCGUGUGGUGGCGAACGAGACCGGGGCCUUCUUCUUCUGCAUAAACGGUCCCGAGAUCAUGUCCAAGAUGGCCGGCGAGAGCGAGAGCAACCUCAGGAAGGCGUUCGAGGAGGCCGAGAAGAACGCUCCGUCCAUCGUCUUCAUCGACGAGAUCGACUCCAUCGCGCCCAACAGGGACAAGACCCACGGCGAGGUCGAGAGACGCAUCGUCUCCCAGCUGCUGACGCUCAUGGACGGCCUCAAGGCGCGGGCGCACGUCAUCGUCAUGGGCGCCACCAACCGCCCCAACAGCAUCGACCCCGCCCUCAGGCGGUUCGGCAGGUUCGACCGCGAGAUCGACAUCGGCGUGCCGGACGAGGUCGGCCGCCUUGAGGUGCUGCGCAUCCACACCAGGAACAUGAAGCUCACCGAGAACGUCGACCUCGAGGUCGUCGCCAAGGACACGCACGGCUACGUCGGCGCCGACCUCGCCGCCCUGUGCACCGAGGCCGCCCUGCAGUGCAUCAGGGAGAAGAUGGACGUGAUCGACCUCGACGACGAGACGAUCGACGCGGAGAUUCUCAAUUCGAUGGCCAUCACCAACGACCACCUCAAGACUGCCCUCGCCGGCACCAACCCGUCGGCUCUACGCGAGACCAUGGUCGAGGUGCCCAACGUCAGCUGGGCGGACAUUGGCGGCCUCGAGGGCGUCAAGCGGGAGCUUCAAGAGACCGUGCAGUACCCCGUGGAGCACCCGGACAAGUUCGAGAUGUUCGGCAUGUCCCCUUCCAAGGGCGUGCUCUUCUACGGGCCCCCCGGCUGCGGCAAGACGCUGCUGGCCAAGGCGAUCGCCAACGAGUGCCAGGCCAACUUCAUCAGCGUCAAGGGCCCCGAGCUGCUGACCAAGUGGUUCGGCGAGAGCGAGGCCAACGUGCGCGAGAUCUUCGACAAGGCGCGCCAGUCCGCGCCGUGCGUCCUCUUCUUCGACGAGCUCGACUCGAUAGCGACACAGAGGGGCGGCAGCGUGGGCGACGCCGGCGGCGCCGGGGACAGGGUCCUCAACCAGAUGCUCACGGAGAUGGACGGCAUGAACGCCAAGAAGACGGUGUUCGUCAUCGGCGCCACCAACCGGCCGGACAUCAUCGACCCGGCGCUGCUCCGCCCCGGCCGCCUCGACCAGCUCAUCUACAUCCCGCUGCCGGACGAGGCAUCGCGGCACCAGAUAUUCAAGGCGUGCCUGAGGAAGUCCCCCGUCGCCAAGGACGUCGACCUCGGCGCGCUGGCCAAGUUCACGGCGGGCUUCAGCGGCGCCGACAUCACGGAGAUUUGCCAGAGGGCGUGCAAGUACGCCAUCCGCGAGGACAUCGAGAAGGAGAUCGAGCGGGAGAGGCAGGCCAGGCCGGAGGACAUGGCGGUGGACGGCGCCGAGGACGAGGAGCCGGCGCAGAUCAAGGCCGUCCACUUUGAGGAGUCGAUGAGGUUCGCGCGGAGGAGCGUCAGCGAUGCGGACGUCCGCAAGUACCAGGCGUUCGCGCAGACGUUGCAACAGUCGCGGGGAUUCGGUAGCGAGUUCCGCUUCUCCAAGCAGCCCCAGGCUGCGGAGGCUGCUGCGACGGCCGACGCUGACGCCGAGGAUGACCUUUACAGCUAAUCCAUGUACUAUAGGCUGGCAAUUAGCAUAGAAUCUGCUAUUUUCUUAUUGAUUUUUUCUGCACUCAUUUUUCCAUCGUAUUUCAUUACCUCCUUGUAUGAGCGAGUGUGAUAAAUGAUCAAGAAAUAGACCAUUGUUCUAUGAAGGGAAAAUAACUAGCGUUUUCGCGUGCUGAAUAACCAUGGCGAGUUCAUGAAUAAACUUGAUUUGCAGCGAUCACCGUGGAAUUCAAUUUAUGAUCCAUAUACUCCAGGAUAUAAUGGUUAAGAUUUAUUUCCAUGUUUAAGUUUCAAAAAAAGAUUUAUUUCCAUGAAGAUCGGGACAACCAGUUUGGAGAGGAAAGAAGUGCUCGGUUUGCGAUCCAGGUGCAAUCGCAUAGCUUUUUUUAGAUGCAAAUGGCCGUCCAUCAUUUCAACUUUUCCUUACACACUAGUUUAACAGCUAGCACACAUUGCCCUCUGCCACUAUAGCCAAAUAAUAAAAAGGGAGACAAGUCUUAGGAGGCGCGAAUCCUCUUAUUUGAUUGCCAUGUUGUUGCAAUGCUCAACACGUGCAACAGAUGAACAGACUAUGUUCCUGCCCUCGUUGCAAAAUAGCCUAAAAUCUAAUCCAGAGUACAUGCAUAACAUACUAACAUAGUACACAUUUUUCUUAUCAAAGACAACAUUAAGCCAUACUGUCCAAACAAAAAGCACCUGCCUACCAAAAAGUUGUCUUUUGUGCUUGUUGUCAAUCCCAUUCAACCACGGACUGUACUAGGCCAAAAGAAAUAUGCACUAUUCUCCAAAGGUAUCUAGACACAUGAUAAUCAAAGAAAAAAAUUAAGUGUUUCAUGAUUAUUAGGUAAGUAACAUUUUUUCACUGUCUUGCUAUUUUUCGUAAAGAAAAGGUAAGUUGUUUCAUGAUUAGUAACAUUUUUUCACUGCUUUGCCAUGCCAAAGUGAAUUAUGCGAGAAAGGAAAGCCCUAACACUAGUCUAAACACAACACACAGGCUGGCUAGAGAGCGUAAAGAGAAGCCGAAGCGAAGGAGAACACAGGGAACGCAGCCGCACAAAAGGGAGGUGAAAGCCACACCACGCCACCUCGCUACCAGAAAAUUCCCCCCAAGGGGCCAGGCCAGGGCACAACACAGGGCCAGGAGGCGAGAGCUCCCGGCCGAAAUUCCCCAACCCCUCCGCGCAGCGUCCGCUUCCGCGUGCGCCUGCCUUCCCUACCCCACCGCGCCACCACCGACCACCGUCUCCGCCGUCUUCCCCCCCUGCGGCGCGGCGGGCCAGCGCCAUGCGCAUCCGCCGCUACGCCGCGCGCCUCCUCUCCUCCUCCUCCACGGGCGGCGCCACCACCGCCGCCCCCUCCUCGCCGCCGCCGCCGCCUGCCGCGUCAUGGCUCCACGCCGCCGCCGACGACUGCUGCGCCUUCUGCGACCUCAACCGCUCCGGCCCGCAGGUAAGCCGAUCCCCCCUCCUCUCCCCCGUUCCCUAUCGCUGCAUUAUUCGGGCCGCUUCGCCGUGAAGGGGGUUGUUUUGCUUUCGUGCGGGGGUUGUAACAGUGGGGGGGUGUCCGGUGGAAUCGCAGGAGGGUCCGGACGCCAUCAAGCACAAAGGGCACAUUGCCGGCUGGGUGCCGGAAUCCGAUGUCAGGGGCGAUGGGCGCGUCCGCCAAGCUCAACACCUGACUUCUCCGGAAGGUUUGCAAUGUAUUUCCCUUCUAAGUAUCAUCUGUGUUUGCGGGGUUUACACCAUGGCAACUGCUAACGCACAAAUUUGUGUUCUUUUUGGUGUUUCACGAAUUAUUGCAGUUAAGAAAUGCAAGACUGAUCAUGGACGCAAUGUAAAUAAAACUUCUGUGGGGCUGCGAGCACCAAGGGGCUUUUCUGGGGUUAGUGAAGCUGGUGCUGAGCCUGCAGUCAAGCCUGGACCUUUGGUUGUAAAUGAUGCUGCUAUUGGACAGGAAGUUAAAUGUAAAUUUUCUCUUAUGAGUGAUGCCGCCAAGCCAGAGGUUACAGGGGGAGAUUCUCUCGUGAAUGGAUCGACCACUGAAUUAGACGUUUUGAAGGAUGCCCCAUUUGCUAAUGAAGCGGUCCAUGAUCCAGAAGUCACAGAUAAAGUUUCUACUGAGACUAAAGCUGCCACUGUUACAAGCAUUGCACCAGAAGUUGCAGGGAUGCCUUCUCGCAAAGCUGUUACUGAUCCAGGAGUUACAGUCACCAUGCUCAGGACAGGUUCCCUAAGUACUGAAGGUGCCGAUGGACCAGAAGUUACAGGGGCAGCUUCUAUCAUGCAUGAAACCACUAAACUGGAAUCUGCAGGGGAGGAUUAUAUUGCUAGCAAACCUGCUGCAGAACCUGAAGAUUCCAGCAGAGCUUCUUCCAAUGUAGAUGCUACUGCUGCUUUAGAUAAGUCACAGCUGCAUAGUUGUAAUCCAAACAUAGGCAACGUGCAGCUUGGAAAUGCUGGAGAGACUGUUGCAAGUGCAGUGCAACCUUCUGGAUGUGAUGCUGCAAAAGUUGGCAGUUCUGUGAAUUCCACAAGCAAUGGUCCAGUUGGAGCCAAAGGUCCAACUGUUGAGGGAGGAAUGCCAAAUGAUAGAUCUGUUACACCCAGAGUUUCAUAUGUAUUUGACAUAGUGGCUCGAAGCAUCGGUACUUCAGGCAGAACAGAUAUUAUUUGUUAUGCUAGGCGGAGAGGUAAGAGGAAGCUGGAGUUGCUGAAGGUAAAGAUGGAAAAUAUUGAAUUGGAAGACGGUGUUGUAUGCGAGGAAGGGACACUGGAGAGAACUGGUCGCUGUGAGAGUGUCUUGUCCAAUGCUGGAUCCGUAGAUGUUAAACUUGCCGACAUAAAGAAGGAACUUAUGGAUGAUUCAGCUGCAAGCAAGGUUAAAAAGACGAAGAAAAACAGAUUUGAAUGUAAUAUUGAUUAUUGCCAGAUGACAUUCAAGACAAAAACUGAGCUUUCUGUUCACAAGAAGAACAUGUGCACUGUCAAGUCAUGCAGCAGACAGUUCAGAUCCCACAGGUACCUGAGACGCCACCAGAGUGUUCACAAUGAUGAUAUGCCUUACAAGUGCCCAUGGGAUGGUUGUGGUAUGGCUUUCAAGUGGUCAUGGGAUCGGACUGAGCAUUUCAAGGUCCAUGCUGGGGUGAAGCCUUAUAAAUGCACGACUCCUGGGUGCAACAAAAUAUAUAAGUUUGUUUCAGACUUCACCCGGCACAGGAGGAGGUGCAAACCUCAGAGGUAAAAGCUUGCUUGAUACUACAGAAUUAGGAUAGUAGUGAAGUUUGUGCUUGCUACUGUAGAUGUCUUUAUUCAUUUGCUAGGAGAUCUUCGCGCAACUGUUCUGACAACUUACAGUGGGAUUGGUCGUUUCUUUGUUGAGGAAAAUGCUAAAAUCUUUAGCUUAGAAACCUGAGUAUCUCAAACUAUCUGUGUACAUUUGUGGAGGCUAGUUGAUAAUAUUCGCACUGGUUACAACCAGCGCUGUAUCGAAUCUUGAGACCUAGAGCUGUAAAUGAGAAGCUAUUUUUUUAUUUUUUAUGAUUUUGUUUCAGCAUAGUAUUCCAUGCUUAUUUAUUUACUUGGGUAGUUGGGUUAACAUGUUUGCACCAAAGUACAACGUACAAUCUGAGGUUAGUCUAUUUUGAUUGCUCAACCUGUCAUAUAUAUAAACGAUUUCUGCUACAUUCAACUCAUCAUCUUUAUACUCUUAGGAGAUGCAAUCUCAUAUCCUUAAAUUUGUGAUGUUGUUUGCAACUUUGUACCAUGUGGUUAUAUAAAUGAAGCUAAAUCACAAAGCCAUUGCUUUUUCUGGAUGCCUGAUGAACUUUAGAGCUGCUCAAACAUUAAGUAAUGUGAUAUGUCCAUUUUCAAUGCGAGCUCCAUGAAAAUAAAUAUCACAUCUUUCUAUUUUUGGAGUGCUGCUUAUAUGCUUUCCAAGAAGAAUGCAUGGACCGUAAAUAUUUUUUUGGGUUGAUUUCAACCUAACUAUUGAUGAAGCACUAUAGAUUAUGUGACAUUAUCAGUUCAGAAAUUGCAGAAGAUACUAAGUUUUGAACUCUGGUGCUAUGGUUUUUACCUGAUAUGCAUGCUAACUCGGAUUUGCUUUUAUGCUCUUGCUACCUGAACCACUAUCAAGCUAGCAAAUUUGUUCGUUGAAAGGGAAACAAUAAGAACUUGUUCUCAAACAUAAAUACUGUAGUGUUAUGAAUAGAAUAGUCAGGAGCAUCCUGUAUGAUUUUAGUGACCAAUCCCACUUUUUACAGAUAGAUAAUUACAUGUAAUAGUUUAGUGCAUUGAUAGAUUUCUUUUUUUUUAAACACAUUGAUAGAUUUCUACUAGAUUGCAAAAGCAAAAACUAUGGUUGAGCCAUAGCAGUACAUAAGUGCAGCUGUUCUUUGGCAAGAAAAAGGUUUUGAAUCUUUCAUUUUUUACCAAAAAAAAGUCUGUCAAGCUAAAGAAAGUUGACACUUUUGGACUAUGGGUGACAUUUCCUGCUUGCAAGGUACAUCUGCUGUUGCUUCUUCUUCAUUUGGCUUCUUAUACAGGAUUUCAAGCAAUGAGUUGUUGAAAUAGCUAGAUGGGAUGCUUAUUGGCCCGUAUGCUUCUUUGUUAAACAUCCGCAAAAUAAACGAUGACUGUGUUUUUAGGUAGCAGUAUUAGGUUAAAAUGACUUUUGCCUUCAAAUCCUGAUGGCUCUAGUUAAUUUCAUGACUGAAGUGAAUACAGUAGCAACUAGCGAGUAGCGACUAUACCAGUGUGUAGUUGGUUCAUAGUUAAACUUCAUGACUGAAGUGGAUACAGCUACUUAUUUUUUCAAGUAUCAUGGUGAUGGUUGCCAAUGAUGAAUAUGUUGCUUUAUUGGGUCUUCGACAAGAAGAGGAAGGUUUUUGCGUGAGAAACCCACUCUGUUUUUUUCUUAAUUCAAUCCUAUCAGACUUGUGUACUUGAGGAUAGAAUGCUGAAAAGAUUAUCAGCUCUUUGGGAUCUGCAGCUGAGGACAAUGAUUUUUGGUCCAAGCUUUUCUGCCUCCAAUCUUUUGUGACGCUUCAGUCUAUUUGCUUCGUUCUCUGCAUGUAUCCUUGAACUGGGUCCUAAUACUUGAGACCUCGUGAUGGAUGGGUAGAAUGUUUGCCAAAAUUCGAUUCCAAGUUAUUCGGUGGAUGGCGAUUGCGCGAAGCUGAUUCUGCCUUCGCGCGCGAGGCGAGGCAGCGAGCGGCCGGGGGCUCAUCGCCCAGGCGCUGCGGCGCUGGUGCUGCAGCUGCCCCACGCGCGGACCGCAACGCUGCGCACGUGGGUGUGUCGUUAUUUUUUUUAUUUUCCAUUUUUUCCUAUUCAAUUUUUUCAUAUCAUUUGUAUUUAAGUAAAUAUCGUUUGCAUGUAAGUUUUGUGCAUGAAAUUGUUCAACAAUAUUUUCAAAGUUGUGGCAAGCGUUAUUUAUAUAAGUUCUGUGUAUCAUGAAAGUUGUACUGCAAAUUAUCACAUAAGUUUUUGACUUGUUGUUAGCAAAAAACUAUAUAUAUAAAUUGUGUGCAUAAUAAGUUAUAAAUUACUAAAAAUGAAAGUUCGAUGAUGUUCUUUUAUAAGUUGUACAUAAGUGUUGAUUUAUUGUUAGAAAAAAGUUAUAUGAAUAAAUUGUAUGUAAAUUACUAAAAAUGAAAGUUUGAUGUUAUCCUUUUAGAAGUUGUACGUAUAAGUUCUGUAUACCAUCAAAGAUGCGUUAUAUCUCAUAAAAAUUGUUAGUACAAAGUUAUACAUUAAAGAUUAAAGUUAUGUAUAUAAUUUACAAUGUUCAAAAAGGAAAAUUGCGGGAUUUUUUUUUAAAAUGUUAAGUUUGGUCAUCCUAGCGCGUGCUGAUUAGAGAGUCCCAGUUGUGGCUAUGUCUAGUUAGAGUGUGAUAUCUGCAGUUAAAUAUACUACUCCCAUUCAUCUUUUAAUUUAUUACGAGAAUAAUCCGUCCUGCACAGCCGCCUCGCUCAAACCCGGUCUCCUUUUCUCUCUAUCACCCUCCUUCCGUGAGACGCAGUUUGGCUCUUGUACAGUUCAGAGGAAGGGACCCUAACAUUCUCCAUGUCGCUCGAUGAAUGUGGCGGAUCACGCGUGGACUUCGCAAGUGCCAUGCGGCCACGGAGUCGGUCGACGAUAUGCACCGACUGCCCGGCCGGCCGCGACGCAGAACACGGAGCAGAGCGAGCAACUUGCUCUGCUUUGCCGAUGCCCCCUCGUCCCACGUCCCAGGCUCCUAGCGUGCCUCAGACAGCUAUCGGCGUCUGCAGCACCCGCUUCCCGGCGCACACCGCCGGUAUCCCCGCGCGCGGCGGCGCUUGCCGGUGGUUGAUGGCCACGCCCUGGUGCCUACGUAUAUCGGGUAGUGUACGUGAUGAGAAACCUAAAGCGAACAUGACGAAGCAGCUCCUUAGCACGUGGCGCCUUAGUUAAAAUUGAUCUGACCGCUGCGGAUUCAGGUUCAUUGUAUCCGCCGUCUCUUCGACGUCCAUAAAAUGACCAAAUAGUGAUUGAAUUUGAUAACAUAUAUAUAAAAAGAGCCAAAGAACUUUUUAAAUUGGAAGCCCUAAACUAUCGGCCUAUACAACACAAUCGGAUGUUUAUUUUUUAGCAAUACUUAUAUGUGUUCUCCAUGCACACAAUUGUUGCGUGUAUAUGGACUACGCACAUGAACACAUACACCUGCUAGUGCCGCUUGUUCGUCGACAUUUUGACGCUAAACGGACUCGCACAUGGUAUGGACACUAACAACAUACGGAAGAAUCCCAUGUCAAAACCGACCCGCUAUCUGGUUCCAAACAUCCAUAUAAGGCAUAUAAACCGAAAUGCAAACAUCUCACUAAAAAAUUGUAAUAUGCAUUAAAACUUUCUCCAAAAUGAUACAACACAAGUCACCAAAGAUACGGGUAUCUCCUAACUUGCAGUAACCAUGGCAGAGGUAGUACAGGCAGAGUGGGAAGGGAGGAGGAGUAGGAGCGGAGGAUGAUCUCAUGAUUAAGCAUAUGGGGGUGUAGAGUCCACAUAUAGCUCUACAAGCAGGCCUCCGAAGGCGUGGCCGCUGGGAGGAUGUGGGCAGUGGAGACGUUGAUGUGCGAAGACGGCAGCGCAGGCGUGGGUGAUGGGAGCAGAAGCGCCUCUUACGGUGGUGCCUUAGGCUAUGUCUGUGCGGUGGCGCAAAAGCACAAACCCAGCAUCCUCGAAAGAUUACUCCGGAUCCACAUGGUAGAUUAUGGUAGCCAAUGAGCGCUGGAGAGGGGUCCGAGCAGAUCUAGGCUAGGAUUUUUCCACUAGCUGUUCUUUUUGCCUCUCUUUCUCUUCUCACCGUAUACAAGAUAUGUUAUGUGUUCUGGAUUUUUUGACCGAACAUAUAAGAGAAAUCCUUAAUAAAUAAAGAAAAAAAAGAGUUGUAUGUACAUGCAAGACUAUUAGGAACUGAAGGAUCCAAUAACCCUCGGGUCAUUAGGGGUUAAUUGUAGGUAAAAGUGGUUGGACCGCGUAAAAGUGUUGGCCAUAUAUACAACUAUCGUGCAUAUGGACUACACACAAAUACAUGCACCUGGCAAUAGCUUGUAUAUAUCACGCGCGUACACAUCAUAUAGCUCGCAUAUGGACACUAUUAAGAUUUGAAAGGAUCCCGUGUCAAUACCAAUGCAACCUGCUAUCUGGUUCCCGGCCGGCCAAACAUCCAUAGAAUAGAAGAUGUAUGAUCUAAAUGCCCACAGCUCGACUAAGAAUAGUAGUAUACAUUAAAACUUUAUCCAAAACAAUACAACGGAUGCAUGUCUCCACUCCAACAGAUACAAAGGAUAACACGACUACACCGCGACACAACCGACGACAGGCAUGUGCUACGAAGCAAGAUAAGCACAAAAUGAUUAACAAUCUAAGCACACGGAAGUCACUUACGACUGUCUUUUUAGCGAAGAAUCGCGGUGCUCGAACGCAUGGAAGACGAAGGCAACUAGGGCAUGCAACGACUCGAGUGUGUCCAUAUUCUCAAGCGCUUCCUCGCCAGUCGCCACCUUCGAGCCCAUGUUUGCUUAAGGAAAGCGAAGCCACCUUCCUCUGGAGCUCCUGUAUGUGCUGCCACCUACUUGUGUUUGUGUGGAUCUUCAACGCCGCUGGCAAUAGAAGCUUCCACACGGUUGGAACUGCUGUAAUUUCCACGUUGCUUUCCACGGAAGGGGCCGAACGGUUCAGGGUAGUAGAACGCUCCGCCCGAGUAAUCGUCUACCUUCCUCUUUCGUGGCUGCUUGGAGCUUGGCCGCGCACCCGUGGGCGAUGGCGGCGGCGCUGCUUUUGAGCUCGCCGGCGCAUCACUCGCCAACGCUGCUCCGGUGAUGGACGACGGCGCACUUGUCCGAGCUCGUUUGGAGCUAGACGAGGCCUUCCAGGGAUCUGCUUCGUCGGAACUGGCCGACGCCUUCUGCGAAGCUGAAUUAGAGCUGACCCCAUGCGCUUCCUUUCUGGAGUUGUAGCACGAGCGGCUCUGGUGCAAGUGCUUCUCACAUAGUGUGUGGGGCACAGCGGCGUCCUCGCCACAUCUCCAUUUCCUGCCGUCGGUCUUCUUGCACUUCAAUGGCUUAUUAUGAGCAGUGACCACCUCCUUCUUGAUCACCUUCGCUAUCAUAUUCUUGUUGGAACAACCCUUCUUCUGCUGACUUCCAUCUCGCUUCAGCUUCUGGUUAACCUGCUGCUGCUUCUGCUCCGUAAUAUUGUCCUCCACUUUCUUCUUCUUCAAAAGGAAAAUCUCCUCCUCCUCCUCCACCUCAGCCUCAGUCUCUACCUCCUCCUGAUGCAACACGAACUUCACGUUCUUGGAACCCAACCCAGGGUUCUCGCGGGGUUCCCUCCAGGCGUCGCCAACGAGACCAUCCUUCAGUUCCUGCAUGCAUAUAUAGCAAACCAACAGCCAGAAGAUGAUCAAGCACAGAAAAAUUUCCUUACCUCCCCCAGCCGAGCACACCACGACCACCGGCCUCGAACGCGACUUUUGCAGUGAGAGCUAGCACUGUCGAAUGGGCAAACGGAACCCUACACGUACGCACAUGCGCGGGCACGACGGCAGCCCAAACCGAAAUGGCAAAGAAAAAAGGAACGGACGUGGGCUGGGGAAAGCGCCUUCGGUACCCCGGUACUAGAGGUCAAAUAACCAGUACUAAGGGGGACUUUUAGUACCAGUUAUUUAUACCAACCGCAUCCCGCUGCCGCGCCUCCCCCACAACCCGUCGGCCUCCGCUGCAGGCCCCGGCCACGCGCCGCCGUAGCCCUGCCGUGACCCGGAGAGAGAGAGAGAGAGAGAGGGAGAGAGAGGGAGGCAGGGAGGGAGGGAGGGAGGCGGCGUACUCGCGGAGCCACUGUUGUCACCGUUGUCGUUGCGCUGCCGCCCACCACCUUCCUCACCCGUAGCCACCGUCGCCGGAUCCAGCUCCUCUCGCCCAUGCGCUGCCACUGCUCUCGCCUUACCGCCGCUCCUCACUGCUGCGCGCGAGUGAGGAGUGAGCGAAGAGGGAGAGGAGGGGAAGCUGAGGGAGGGCUAGCGGAGAGAAAGGAGGGCCGAAGUAAGGGGCGGCGGAGAGAAGAGGGCAGGGCGGCGAGAGAAGAGGGCUGGCAAGAGUGGGAGAGGUGGGGGAGAGAAGAGGGCCGGUGGGAGAGGCAGUGGUCAAGGGAGAGAGAUGCGUGAGGGAGGAUACGACUGUGGCAGAGGGAGAGACGGAGGGGGAGGGGAGUGGAACCGAGGUGCGAUAAGUACCGGGUGGAGUCUCCACCUGGUACUAAAGGCCCUCAGGCACAUUAGUACCGGGUGGAGGCUCCACCCGAUACUAAUGGGUCCCCAACCGAUACUAAAGGGGGUCACGGGGGGCUUCUGGGGAACUAGCCGUUAGACCCGGUACUAAUGCUCAUAUUAGUAGCAGGUCAGGUCAAAAACCAACCGGUACUAAAGGUUAGGACCAAUGCUUAGUUUUUCAGUAGUAGGAGAUACGCGAGUAGAUCCCAACUAGCAGCAAAAACCUAGAAACCGCAUUGGAGAUAGCACAAGCGGGGAAGGGAGGGGGAGUAGGGGUGCGGAGGCUGACCUUAGGAUUAAGCAUGUGGGGUGUAGAGUUCAUGCACAGCUCAGCAAGUAGACCUCUGUAGGCACGGCUGCUGGCAGGACCAGGGCGGUGUGGGUGUCGACGUGUGAAGCCGGCGGUGCAGGCACGGGCGCGGGUGGUGGGAGCACGGGCACCUCAGCGCCUUAGGCUGCAGUGGAGCAUUGGCGCAGAAGGACAAGCCUAGCAUCUUCAAAGGAUUCCUUCGGAUCCGCAUGGCGGAUCGGGUCGUCGGUGAGCGGCGGAGUGGGGGCGAGUGGUGGAGCGAGGUCCGAUCGGAUCUGUACUAGGGCAGCUGAACUGAAGCGGUGCGUAGGAAGAAGAAGAAAUGAAGAAACGGAAUGUGGGUGGCGUGUCUGCAUGCCUAAUUUAUUUUUUUCCUAGCUGUCUUUUUCGCCCCCGCCCCCCCUCUCUUCAUCGUAUAUAUGAUCUGUUCCGUGUUCUCAUUGUUCGUGUUUUGGUUUGCGCCUGCGAUUUUUUGACCGAACAUAUAUGAAAAAUCCUUUAUAAAUGAAGAAAAAAAUAUAAGAGUUAUAUGUACAUUCAAGACUAUUAGGAAUAAAAGGGUCUCGAUAGCUCCUAGGGUGAUUAGGGGUUAAUUGUAGGCAAAAGUAGUUGGACCGUGUGAAAGAACGAUAGUAAAAGUCAUUUUUAAUUUCUUAUGCUUUUGAAUCACGCUUACCAUCUGAAACAUUUCACAUGCAAGUGUGAAGCAAAAAUUGCCACGCACCACGUACCGUAUGAUAGUGAUGGUGUGUUUAUUGGUCAUGACAGGUGUUUUUGAGAAAAAAUAAAUGAUAUACAAUAAUAAAUUGCUUCUAGUUAAAGAAACGUGGACAUUUGUUGAAGACUAUUGCAGCACAUCCCGUACUCCCAUGGGCUUUGGAGCAUUUUAUAGACGGCUAUCUCUUUGAAGCAACCCGGCAACCCCAUGCACCCGUACAAGCAAGCAGAGACUUGUCUUCAGAUAUGAUCACUAGGGCCGUAAAAGUUAAAACCACAUCCUAUGUCAUUUUUAAUUCGCAAUUUGCCUUCUAAAUCGCUAACGGGAUGACCGUUCACUUCCUAUGCAUGCGUAACAAUCCAACACUUAAAAAGCUUAAACAUGGAACAAAUUCUGAUGACCCAAACUUCCAUUCAAAAACAUUUGCUUUGAAAAAAGUGUGCAACACACAUCUCAUUUAACGGAAGUUGCCAAAAGGACUAACCGAAAGAUAAUUCUGAUGCUUAUUGGGGGACAAACUUUUCUAGUGUUAUAUAAAGUUUUUAUCUACCCCCUCCGUCCCAGAUAUAACUACGUCCAGAUUUUUUCAAAGUUAAACUUUUCCAAUUUUGACUACAAUAACUCUAAAGACUAAUAACAUAAAGAUUAUGUUAGUAGAUUUAUCAUAAAACCAACUAUUAUAAUAUAUAUUUUUUUCAUUUGAAAUAAAUUAUUUUUAGAGAUAUUAUUGGUUAAAGUUAAAAAAGUUUGACUUAAAAAAUUUAAAUAGCUAUAUUUUGGUACGGAGACAGUAGCUAUUUGCCAUCUUCUCAUGCACUGUUGACCCUUGGGCUUCCAGUGAUAAGAAAUAAAUGGGUCUAAUUAUGCCUGUUGGAGGAAACUUCACAUUGGCAUCGACGGAUGGAAGACGAGCACAGCACCCUUCGGCUUGUGCGCGCAAGGGGUCUCUGUCUGUCUGACAAUGUGGCCUUGCUUUGCGCUUCUCUUUCCAGCACUUUUUCGUUGACGAGCUUUUUAAAAAAACCGUCAGGAACAGUUUCAUAUGGAACAGUUACUAAGACUCUCGUACAUAUGAUGACAUUCCCUCUCCUCUUUCCUCGUAAAUGAUCUUGCCUUGCCAUGUCAGUAAAAUUGCUGAUGUGAUAUGUUAUUUAAUGGUCAUGAAACUUUUAAUGAAACCUCCAACAAGACUGACCUUAGAUAAAAGAUACUCCGAUACUGUGCUGCUUGUCAGGAAAGCUCUCGGUCUCGAUCCAGUUCCAAAAUUACAACGCUGAGUUCUGCACCUCCGCCGCGACGGGAAGAAAAACUAAAGUUUCUCAAAACUGCUCUAUCAUACACAAUGCAUUUGCUUAGUCGGGAAAACAAGAUUCUUCAUGCAUCCACCUUAUGAGAAAGUCUACAAGAUAUACACACCAUUAUAUACUUGUAUUCUUACAUCUUUGCUCAGCAACAUUAUCACACUGUGUAGGAAGACUUGUAAGGGAUUUUCUGUUUGCUAGCUACUAGUAGUAGACAGACACAACAUCCAGGAAGGCCAUCAGUCCCGUUCACAACUACUCGCGGUAACUGAAAGAAUCCCUGCAAAGCAAACUGGAACGCAUCUUUUGUUCACUUGAUUGCUCCAGAUGAGCUACUUCAGUGCAUGGCCGAGGUGGGUACAACUAACUCCCUGUAAUCUUUACGUAUGCUCCAUAGAAUCUCCGCGCAUCGCCUCAUGCUCGGUCGGUUCCUCUUUGUUGGAGCUAAGCAUUGCAGAGCGAGCUCGAACAUCUUCUCGACUGCCAGAUUGAUCGCGUUGUUUGCUUCCAGAUUCGAAUCCAGUGUUUGAAUAGCAUUGCCCUCCACAAAUUUCUCCAUUGCCUGUGAAAACCAGUAUAGUACCACGUGGAGGAAGCACAUUAAGACCAAUGUAGACUGGUUGCUACGGUAUAGUACUGCAUAACUGUGUUCGCGCUGUUUCAUCAGGUAAUGGAAACAAAUGGUGAUGCAAAUAAGUAUGAUGUCUAGAGUAACAGAAACUAACCCAUUUUGCGGUAACACGCUCAAUGAUUGACCUCUUUGGCUCUAUAGGGCGCCUUCCAGUAACCAACUCCACCAGUAGGACUCCAAAGGAGUAGACAUCACUCUUCUCAUUGAGCUGGUAUGUUCUGAGAUAUUCUGGAUCAAGAUAGCCUGCUGUACCUUUGACUUGAGUAGAGACAUGGCUAGAGUCAGUUGGAGCCAGUUUGGCAAACCCAAAGUCAGCAACCUUUGCUCGAAAAUUGUUCAUUAGAAGAAUGUUUGAGGAUUUGAUGUCCCUGUGGAUGACUGGAUGAUCUGCGUUGAUGGAACAAAUGAGACGGCAUUUAAUUGCUAAUGAUCCAGUGGUUAGAUGUUCACAGAUGAUUUGUUUCGAGUUCAGUUCUUUAUAUGAAAGUAAAGCUAUGCGACAGAAGAAGUCUUCAGUCUACCAUCUGCCAAUCAAGCCCAACAAUGUUCAAGCAAGUUCAUUGUAUCCAAAUUUUGCUUCAGGACAUGUAGCAUAGAAACUUGCAUCAAAUGGAAACCUGAAAUUAAGCUUAGAUGGUCUCUUGUAAUUAGUGGCCUGGGUCAAGGCUAGUCAUAAAUUUGUGGAGACGAGCCUUCCAGUGUCAUUCACUAGAGGAUCCCUCAUCAGAUAUUCUUUAUACACAAGAAUUAUGGGUUCAUAGCAUGUAAAAUAAUCGAUAUAGUACAAACAUUACUGUUAUAACUUGUGGGUGUGGCAUAGGUCUUACAAAAAUAAGAAAGAGAAGUGUAUACAGGUUCAUACAUUGUAGGAAGUGUAUUGCAGUAAUCUCAGUUAAAUAUUGGCUGCUUUCCCACAAGGAUUAUAAAUUAUAAAUUAUAAAUUUUGAAUGUUUGUAUUUUGAGGUGUUGAUUAUUCUUGGCACAGCUGUUCCAGCGAUAUCUAAUAUUGGUUUCAGUUGUAUCAACUCUGUUAAUUACAGCAAAAGUAGGCAAGCAUAGCAGACGAUAACUUGAUUUAACUACGAAUGCUAUUAUAUCAUUUCUGAAGUAAAAUAGAUGAAUCAUGGAUUAUGCAACUUUUAGAGAUAUUUUCUCAAAUCACAGGUAAAUACUAGAACGUCAAGGAUUAUUGCUGAAACAUUACACCCCAGAACAACAAGAACAAUUAAUAUGGUAACUUAAGAAACAAAAUGCAGCUGAAAGAAGAUUUACCUGAGUAUGUAUGAAGAUAUGUAAUAGCAUGAGCCACAUCAAUUGCAAUUUCCAAUCUCAUUGAGAAUUCUAAUACUUUACCAUUUACACCUGCAAAUAGCUAACCUCAUGUAAGACAGUUAGAACAAGCCAUUGCACUAGUACUGCAGAAGAGAAAUUGACUGGACCACGACAUUCUUACAGUCAAGGUGCUCUCGAAGAUUCCCAUUGGGAACAUACUCCACAAUUAUCAACUGCUCGCCACCAAACUCUAGGUACCCAUGAAACCUAACCAAAUUCAGGUGCUCAAUGCGUUGCAAUGUCUCAAUCUCGUUCCAGAACUCACGACCCAUAUGCUUGUCAUAAACAUUCUGGAAAGAACGGAAACUCAUAUAGCCUUGUAGCAAGAACUAGCUUACAUAAACAGGUCAUAAGAAAAUAAGCACAAACCUUUUUGGCCCGUUUGACGGCGACGAGAGUACCAUCAGCAAGCUGGCCCUUGUAUACAGUCCCAGAACCACCCUGCCCAAUCUUCAAGUUUGGUGAGAAGUUCUUGGUUGCUUUCUGGAUCUGCGCCAAGGAGAAUUUUGUGCUGCCAGGCAUCUCCCUUUCUAAAGAAUUCCUGUGCAUGGGACUAUACAUUCCUUUAAUUGAUCGCUUGCUCCCAAAAGUGCUCCCACUGUUAGAACCUUGUGAGCUCACCGACUGUGAAACUGCAAAUUUAACAUAGAUAAGGUAAGCACCUGAACAUGGCAGAAAACAUAAUCGCCAGCACGUGCUGCAAAAAUAGUCAAAAGCAUUUACGUGUAUUGCUGAAAGAAUUCAACAGCGAGCAUUCAAGGAUAACUUAUGUCUGCAUCACUAAGAUAUUUAAUUUCGCCAAGAGUUUGGACUAGACGGGAAAGGGCACGGUUCACCAUUCUUUACAUGCUCUGGAAUUCUUCUUCAAUCAUAGAGCAAAUUAACAAAUGCUACCUUGUGGCAAGGGUUUGCAUAUACUAAUUUGGUAACCGAUAUUAAAAAAGUUGACCAAUAUGAGUCUGGGGCCAUGAUCAAAUGGCGACAGGUGGACAGCAAACAAAUAAAAACUGUAAACUACAAGGUGAAGUGUCGCACACGUCCGAAUAAAGUUGUAAAGUUCAGUCGGAGAGAUUGAUUAUUGUUGCAGGAGACAUGCUACAAAAUGCAUGUAACGAAAGGUAAGAUAAGACUAAAUCGUUCUGCAAAAAAAAAGUAGGAUGUACUAAUUAAGCACCACUUGAAGAAAAUGUCUCGAAAAUUGCUCGUUGCACCAGGGCAUUUUUCCCAGAAUUAUUGCGCAAUAAUCUCCAGAAAAGAGCAUAAAAAGGGCUAGCUUUCCUGCCAAAAAUAUCAUCUUGGAUUGAAAAGGGCACCUGAAACUGAAAGUACAAAAGCAGUGGAAAAUGGGUACAGAAAAGGGCGUUUGCGUACGUACGUUGGUGGGAGGGGUGGAAGUCGUCGGACAUGGAGGUCUCCGGCGAGCGCGCCUCCGGGGGCACGAAGCAGGAGCGGAAGGCGUCGAGGAAGGAGAGCCCGCGCCCGCCACCGCUCACGGAACCCUCGGGGGCGGAGGAUGCCGUGGUUGCGACGGAGACGCGGGACAGCUCGCCGCUGCCGCCGGGGUCGCUCCGCCUCCAGGGCGAUGCACCCCCGCUGGCGCUCCUCAUCUUGGCCCUCGGGUCGGCACUGCACGAGCUAGCGAGGCUGCGGCGCGUGCGGACUGCGGAGAGGAAAGGGAGGAGGUGUCCCUCGCUGCCUUGAUGGCUUGGAAUUGGAAAGCUGCGGGUUGAUGACGACACGGGGUUGGAGGAAGGAGCCGGGAGCGAGAAGGGUCGGAGGGUUUUGCGCUCUUUUUCGGCGCGUCAAGUUGGACUGGUUCGGAUCCGGACCAGACUUUUACGCUGCACGUAGGCCCAGCCCGCAAUGUUCUUUCACCGAAAGUGCUCUAUUUUUUGUUCAGUGAUUGUUAGUGAAACAUUGUCAAAACAAAGGUUCUCUUAAUUUUUAAAGCCAUUGCAGUCUUAACCUUUACCUCUUCAUUUUGUUUCUUUACCGGUCUAUCUCUUAUAUUUCCUGCAAAUUAGAAAAAAUGAUGAUUGAACGGAGGAACAGUGGAGGUGGGCAAUUUAGGCCCUGUUGGCUGUUUGGAUCUGACCAGCUAAAAUUUAGCUGUUUAGUUUAGCUUCAGCUAAAUUUAGUCCGUGGGUUCCAAACAAGAUUUUAUACUACCAAUAACACUUGCUCAGGGAGAGAAGGGACCCGGAUCUUUGAAACGGCAGAGGAAUUAUAGAUUUUUCUCUCGGGGAAGAAAUGGUUACUAGUAGCACUUCCUUUGGUAAAAAUGUUGACAGCCACUUCGUACGAAAAAGGAUUGCAAUUUUGUGGCACGCACGAUGUAUUGCAGUGGAGAGGCAAUGUAAACUUGUACCCCUACUGCUAGAACUCCUUUAUUUUUAUUUUUACUCUUUUUAUCUUCAAGUGCAUGCCCGGCUACGGCUAGUGCUGUGCUAUUUUAGUAGCCUGAUUACUUUUGUCAUUUGGGUGAACAAUGAUGGGACACUAGUAGUGCCGCACCUGUACCACGUCACUCCAGUGGGACCCAGCCGUGUGGAAUUGGAAAUGUCGGAGUGGAGUCAAAGUCAAUCUAUUGGCUUGAUUGCCCACGGAGCACCUACAUGCGACACACAGCCGAGGAGAGCCCGUUCCGCUCAAUGGCGAGUGGGCCGGACUCAUGGUCGAGAUAGAAAGGAGGCUAGCGUAGGUGGAGGCAUUCAAUGCUGCCUCUCUGGAGUACCUCAAGUUGUGCCGAAGGCGAGAACCAGCGACCGGUGAGCAAGUGGUCAACAGCAGGUCGGCAGGCGAUCUUUUUCCUCUCCAUUUUGUGCUUGGGCACGAACUGCGACUGCAAAGGAAACAAACGAAAGGCCUCGCUCUCUCUCGCUGAAUUACUCGGUCGCGGCACCGGAAAUUCGUUCCGUGCCCGAGCAGCAGAAACCGCACGAAAGUUCCGUGUCCCCCUCACCGCCAGCGCGCGCGGGUGACCAUGGCGGCCGGACGACGCCGCCGAGCGCGGGUGGCAGUUGGCACACUGCACACGCGUUUUCGCCCGGAAACAAGGCGGAGCGAGACGGCUUGGCGGUGGUGAUCCAGGACAAGUGGUCGUCUCCGGCAUAAAUCCGUCGCUAGCAAGUAGCCAGUUCCACGGAAUGAGUUUGCUGUUCCUUGCAGCAACGCGUAAUUGCGGUGCACUCGUACGUCCCAGGUCGGAUGGACGACGUGAGGUCACUUUCAUUGCAGAAUGUUCGUAGGAGCCGGGACGGAAAGUGUCUGUCAGGUAGGCGUGGGCUGGCCGACCGAACUUGAUGCAGGGCCUGUUUAGUUGCCCAAUUUUGGUUGUUCAAAAUCACUGUGUCAGAACUGUAGCAUAUUGCAGCGUUUCGUUUGUAUUUGUAAAUUAUUGUCAAGUAUUGACUAAUUAGGCUUAAAAGAUUCGUCUCGCAAAGUACAACCAAACUGUGCAAUUAGUUUUUGAUUUCAUCUACAUUCAGUACUCCAUGCAUGUACCGUAAAUUUGAUGUGAUGGGGAAUCUUCUUUUUCAUAGUAUCAAAGUUGGGAUUUUGGAGUAACUAAACAAGGCCGCAAAAGGAAGGGAGGAUGGUAGUUGUACAUGCGUUUCCCGCUGGUAAAAUUAGGUCUGAUUAGACCCUAAAGCUCUUGAUCGUUCAUCGAUACUCGUGUUCCAGCUCCAGCUUUUGGAGGCGCUAUGUUUGUAGAGCUCAGCCUCAGCAAAACUUCUGGCUCCAAGAACUCGGCCACUUGUUGCGUGUUUCUCCUUCUCAUCUACUGUAGGGGUGUUUGGGAGGAGGGGGUUAAAUUUAGCUCCCGCCACAUCGAAUGUUUGGAUACUAAUUAGGAGUAUUAAACGUAGACUAAUUACAAAACUAAUUACACAACCUCUAGGCUAAAUCGCAAGACGAAUCUAUUAAGCCUAAUUAGUCCAUGAUUUGACAAUGUGGUGCUACAUUAACCAUUCGCUAAUGAUGGAUUAAUUAGGCUUAAUAGAUUCAUCUCGUGAUUAAGCCUAGAAGUUCUGCAAUUAAUUUUAUAAUUAGCUUAUGUUUAGUCCUCCUAAUUAGUAUUCGAACAUCCGAUGUGAUAGGGCUAAAGUUUAGCCUUUAUUAUCCAAACGCCAUAUAUAGUCUCACAGCCAGGGACCAUGUAAAUUGCUACUAGCAACGAAUACAAAUUUCUCCAUGAUUGAUAGAGUGUGCAAUCUUCUACUGCACGAAUGCACAUGGGCAAUUGCGCCUAGCAACGUACUACGCGGUGCCACUUUUGUUUUUUUCUUCUAGGAGUAAAGGGCUAUAUUUGGUACAAGGGCUGCCGAACUGUUUUGCUCCAGCGAUAAGGCCCAUCAAGUGUGAGGAAAUAAUGUACAGGGCUACAGCCUACAGGCCAGUACACCCCCAGUAGGCCACCAGGAACAAACAAAUUGGCAGCGAGCCGAAGCGGUACACGAACAAUUGCAGAAACGAAAGGCCUGUGCUGGAUCCAUUCCGUAGGUUGUGACUUCUUCGUCCUGGAUUUGGUGUGUGCACGGGUCUUCUGUCUUCGUAGAGAUCGAAUGCGGCUCUCGGCAUCUGUCCACUUCCACUAGCGUGCCUGCACCACGAGUUGCUAGGUUUGUUCAGAGGUAUUCCUUGUUCAGAUAGCAAAUCGUCCGAGAAACAGAACUGGCUCAGCUAGGCCUCAGGUGGUUCUUCCCAGUCAGGAGAGUGCUACACUCACUGUCAGUAGUAGUAGAAAACAAAGAAAUUUGAAAUGGACGUCCUCCCGUGGUAGAAGUAACUUCAAGAGCAUAGUCCAAAGCACCGUAUUUAAUGGGCGUCAGUUCGUUACGUACCGCGUCAGCUGGGACUGUCCGUUUGCGAAAUCAUGAGCUGCUGGAGCCAGCAAUAGAUGCUGCUGCUCAUGCGCAUCGGUAACUGACUGUGACUGGCUCGGCAUUUUACCUUUCACCAGGUCACGGCGUUUACCGCCAUGAUCUCGCCGCAGGACGACGGCACGGCAGGCACGAAGGACUUUUUUGGUCGGAGGUCUGAGCAACGUGCCUGGUGAGCCCGGUGAAUAGUGCUGCAUGAGAGUUGCUAAAUUUUUUUUUAGAUUUGCCUGGCAAGUUGAUCGAUAGUCUGUUUGGUUGGAAGUCUGUGCCUGAGAAUACUAAUACCAUUAAUGUGUUAAAGUACCUAUAAUCAUACUAUGAUUAACAUUAUUCUUUUUUAUAAUAAGAAUUUUAAAAACAUGUUUGAAAAAUUUCAAAUAUUUUUUGUGUCCAACAUUUUACACUUAAUAUACUGUAAAUGCGUCCAUGGAAAAGGAAAAAAAAAUUCAUACUUCAGCUCACUGUUACAAACGUUGGACUUAAUUAAGUAGCAACAAGCAAUAGAAAAGCUUUUAAUAUAUUAUUAGAGGGGGCAACCUGAGCUGUUGAAGCGGCAGUCGUUUUUGGACAACUGCGUCAAGCAGAUUGGCAGGACUCCAUCCAAACAGUGACCCGGCAGCUUCCAGGCAACCUUCCGGCCAGGCAAAUUAUGCAUCCAAACAGGCCCGAACCGCCCUAUCAGGUAUCAACGCCCGGCCGGUGCCCGUGCCGGAGCCGCGUCGGCCAACCCAGCCGCGCGGCAACCGCCACCCCCGCAGUUAAUCCGGCGCCGUGAGUCCUGUGACCCACCUGACUGGAGCCGUGGAGCGAGCGAGCCCCACGCGCAGGGCGUUACCAUCCGCCCCGCGCCGCACAGCAGCACAGGCUAGAACGCGCGCCGCGCCCACCGCGCUCCCACUCCCGGACGCCGCGCGGGCCGGAGCAGCGAGCGUGCGGGCGGCGCCUGGCCGCAGGCCGCGUCGGGCUCGGCGAUACAGGGGUUUCUGUUUGUCCCCCGAGCAGAAACCCCUCACCCGCCAGGCCCUCUGCCGGCCGCUGCCCCCUCCACCGAUUCAUCCUCGUCUCGAUCCCAUCCGCCGCCCGCCCCCGCCCCCGCCCCGCCCCAAAGCCCACGAACCUUUUCCUCCCGUUUCCCUUCCCCACGCGCUCCGGCCCCGACCGCUCUGCCCCCGAACCCAAAAGUCGCUUUUCGGGUGUCUCGCUAGGGUUAUUUGUUUUUGCAAUUUUCUGGCCAUGUCGUACCCGCUUGUCCCCGCCUGACUCGAUUCACUCGCCUGCUGGGCUGCUGGCUGCUGCGGCGGCCUGCCAUAGCCAGCUUCCGAGUCCCAACCCAAUGGAGGAAGGCGAGCAGGCGGCGCAGGUCGAGCCGCCGCCGCCGCCGCCACCGCCACCGCCGCAGGAGGGAAACAAGGAGAAGGAGCCUGAGCCGGAGCCGGAGCCGCCCCGGUGCGGGAGGCACCCAUCCCAGCUCCUCACCGGCAUCUGCUCCUCCUGCCUCAUGGAGCGCCUCUCCUCCGUGCGCGACCAGCCCGAGGCCGAGAUCGUCGAGGUCGGCGCCGCGGAGCCCGCCGAGGGCUCCGGCGCCGCGGACCAGGGCAAGCUGCGGAAGACGCUCAUGCUGCUCUUCCAGCUGGACGACUCCGGCAGCGGUGCCGCGAAUCCGUCGCAAGGGAAGGACCCCCAACCAGCGGAGUUUCAGUUCGGCUCUGGAGGGGGAGAUCGAGGGGGCAAGCGGAAGGGGCCCGGGUCGUGGCUCAGGUCCAUUUUGCCGACGAGAGGGAUGCGGUGGAGGAGGAGUGGGGGCUCUGUGAAGGAUCCCUCGCCGCCGCCGCCGCCAAGGGGGGAGGCGGCGGAUCCGAGCGCCAUCAACGGUGGCGGCGGCGAUGCGCAGGUGGAGCGGAAGCCGAGCUUCCGCCGCUCGUGCGAGUGGAUGGCGUGCCGGGACCCGAGCAGGGGCUCCCUGGAGCCACCACGCCACUCGUGGGACGGGUCGAUGGUGGGUAGGGCCUUCGCGUGCUCCUUUGCCUGCUUAGAGGAGCCACCGGAUGCGGCGAGGAGGGUAAGGAGGAGCAAUGCUGAGGAAGGCGCUGCGGAGACCCGAGCCGUGGUUGCAGAGAGCAGGAAUGGGGGGCACUCAGUUGAUGCAGGUGGCGAUGGGCGGCGUUUAAGGGGAAGGGGUUCUGGUGACACUGGGAUGGAGAUGGCUGUCUCUGGCGUUGGAAGACGGAGGUCCAACAGGUGGAGCAGGGUGUGGGAUCGCAGCAUAACGAGCCCACUCAAGGAAUUCGUGAGGAAGGGGGAGCAUGUUCUUGAGCGGUCCCUCUCCGAGUCGAGGAAGGAAAUCAGGAGGGGUAAAAAUGCGGAAUCAGCAGAUAUUAGUGGUGAAUUUCAUUCUGGACGCAAUGGCCAUGUGUCGGGCAGAGCAAGCCAAGGCGCAAGUCGAAGCUCACAGGCUGCAUCCAAUGGGGAUGUACAGAAUUUCCGGACCGAUUGGCUUAAGAAUAGCAAGAUUGGCAGAAGCAGGAGCGUGCAUUAUACAUCGCCUGGGAACUUGGACAACGGGAUGCUGCGAUUUUAUCUGACACCAAUGAGAAGCACGAGAACUGCAAACAAGGGGAGAAGGAGAAGCUCACGCUUGUUUGCAAGAGGGCUUUUCGGUUUCAUGUGAGCAGCUGAAGUAGAAUGUCAGACCAUGCCAUGUGUUUUAGAAGAUGGCAGCAGCAGAAGCAACUUUUCUUUGCAAUCUACUUGGUUUCUAAGGAUUGGCAACAUCGUAAGUUAUUCCGACAUAUUCUUUCUUAUAGGAGAUUGUUAAGUCCCGACCUAGGCUCAAGAUGCUUCAGUAUUAGUUGCAGAUUUGCUGCUCAGUUCUUUUAAGAUGUUUCUUAUAGAUGGAAUCUGGACAAACCUGUGCAGAUUAGUAUCACAAUGUAAUUAUUUACGUUCAUAAUAAUAUUUGUAUUGAUUUGUUCCAAGAGUUCUCAAUUCUUCUGUCUUGUUCAAGGUAUAUAUUGUUCUAAUAUGUUUCUCGUCCUACUCACAUGCAUUAUUUGUCAGUGGUUGAAAAAACUUACGAUCUAAAGAAUUUUCAUCUGCUGUUAAAUAUGACUAGCAUUUAGCCAUAGGAAUAACCAGACAUCACGGUCCAUUUGCUAAAAUCUACACAAAUAAGGCAAUAAGCUGCACAUAUUCCUCUUUGUGUAAAAAUUUUGCUUCCUAUAUUUGCUUGUCUUUGAAACUAUUUGGGCCAUUAUUACAAUGCUGUUCAUUGGUAGCCUAUAAAUGGCAUGGCUAGGAUUCUCUCAUGUGGGCUGUCAUCUCCUAUCAUCACUCUCAAGGAAAAAUCUCAAAGAUGGGGUCCUUGUGCUGGGGGUAAAGCUUCCAUCUGGAAUCUGGAGUCCCAAUUGAAUCCAGCAUAUUUUCAUGCUGAACUAGACAAAGUAAUGGAUUAGGUAUCAACGGCACCUAAACGUCCCUUGAUUGUCUUUCUAUUUAUUAUUUUGAAACAGGAUGAUUGUAUUGCAGAUUUGUGCUUCAUUGUAUUGUUUAUGUUAUUUCAUCUCUACCCACCUCACAUAUUAUGUGGUAAAUUUCUACAAUGUAAACAUGAAUUACGAAUUACAUGAAUUUAAUGAAUCUGCAAGAAUACGAUGUUCAUCAAUUCAUCUUGUACGUUCAGAAGGUUGCCAUUUUUUUCUUUCUUUAUUUAUUUCUUUUUUAUCUUUUAAGAGUGGGUUGGGGCCUUGGGGGCAUGAUUAACUUCAAAGUCUAUUUCUCUAAUUUUACAAAGCGUCACUAACUGAUCGGGUGAUAUAUGAAAAUGAGGGACUGUUUCUCUUUGGGAAUUAAUUUUCAAUUGAAUUUCUGCAACUACUCUGUCCGUUAAAAUUUUGCAGGUUGCAGAGAAUUCACACCCCCUGAAUACCCCUGAAUGCAAUGUUGCUCUCGCAUCUACUCGGUGUGGAUGGCUGGAUGCUGCAGAAGCAUCCUCUUAUCCACAUGUCUCCAGCUAACAGUUCUGUUCCAUCAGCAUGUUUCCUUGUUUGGUAAUUACAUGGAGAAAUUGUGCUGCUACAUGGUCAGGACUUCAUUGCCAUUGUUGAAGCAACAAUGUUCUUCAAAGAAAUAACUUACAAGGGAAUGAAAUGCAAUCAUGAGCUACUGCGCGGGGGAGACUACUAGUUGCUUUCCGAAUUGGCCGGAGAGACUACCACAACAUACAUCAAACAGAUGACAUCAAGAGGUGCAGAUGGACUAGCCUGCCUUUCUAAAUUCCCAUCUUGUAGGGCACCGGCAUCGAAAGCAGUCUGGUGCUUGUAUUGGAAUACAAAUGGAGAAUAGUCAGAUUUGGAACUUAUAACUCUCAAUGUCUUUGCAAAGGUGGUAAUGUGAGUCACAUCAGAGGUGGUGGGGCUACAAUUUUUUUUGUGUAUAUAUGGGAUUGCUAUUACGAUGUAUAAGUUUGGCUUUGUUAUUUCUUUCUCCAUCAACCUGAACUUUGUUUACAUGUGUAAUUUCUUCCUAUACAUCCUGAACUUCGGUGCAAUUUGGCAUUGACAUUUGAGUUCUCUUUAUGAAAUAUUGAAGUAUUAGUUCUAUCAUCAUCUCAGUUUAUCUACUUAUUUGAGUAUAUUCCACACUUCUGGUGGUGUUUUAGUUGCACAUGUAUUCUGUACAUGGUAAAAAAUGGGUAAUUUAAUUAUAUCUUACUAUGUAGUUUAGCUUACCAAAAUAUCAUGGAAACAAUGCAAUUCACACUUAAAUGCAAAAUGAUCCAAACAUAUAAGGGAAAAAUCACAAAAAUCAUAGGACUUUUUAAAAAAUAAAAACAUCUGGCAAUAGACAAAGCAAACAUUUAGGCCCCACCAGUACAAUUCACAUGCACACAGUGGUCGUACAUGGGUCCAACAAAUCAGUCGGAUGUGAAGCAAUUUCCAGUUUAUAGACAAAAUGUGUUGAUGGUGCCAUGGAUGUGUUUGUGUCGUGUGUACAGUGUAUGUGUGUUUAAAAGUGUGGUUCAAACUCUUAGAGCGUCGUGUCGUAUAAAGUCCUAGCUUUAAGUCAACUUUUAUUUAAUAUAAGUUUAUGUCUAAACUUUAUAAUUAUGUAUCUAUAAGAUUGUAAUACGUUAUUAUUAACGCUUGCAUAUAUGUGGACAAUAUAGAGUUGUCUCGUAUUGUGAUAGACAAGAGUCAGUUAUGCACUCCAUCGUCUCGUCCCUCCCCUGACGUGAACAUGGUCAUGGGUGCGUGAGUCGCCACCACUACGUGCUCCUUCGUAUGGUAUCCUUGAGCAACUACUGUCCUUGUACUUUGGGCUAUGCACCCUCUGACGACUUUGUUCUGCCAUCAUUGAUAGUCCAUGUUUGUACUCCGUAGUACGUACACACUCAAUCCUUUUACCACUUCUCAACUUUUAUUUUGCAGCACUUGGAAGCUGGAACUCCGUAGCCGGUGUAGUUAAAGGAUGAAGUAAAAUGAAGAAGAGGCAGAGAGAUAAUCUACCACUAAUAUAGACGUGUAGUUCAGAAAAUUUUGUUGCUUGUAAUGAACUUACAUAAAAGCACUAUUUACCGCUGUAAUGGCAUCUGUGUAAAACUACCUUCUUCUACGGAGCUAGGAGUAAUAAUUAAUUAGCUUGGCUGUGAUGAUAAAAUUGUAAAUUACGUACUCACUCCGUCCUAAAUUGUUUUUCUAAAUACAUAACUUUUGCUACGUAUCUAAACAUAAUAUAUAUCUAAGUGCAUGUAAAAGACUACGUGGCGGUGCGAAAUCUGGCCGACAAGUAAAUAUUUUUUGUUUUGCCGUGCGUUAGAUCGGAUAUGACCUAGCACACAAUGACACAGGAUGUAUACUGGUUCGGGCAACGUGCCCUACGUCCAGUCGGGGUCAGUGGGACAACUUUAUUCCUGAGCUCAGGUGCUCAAAGUUUGCAGUGGGGGUACAAACGAGAGGAGGAUGAGAGGGGGUGCCUGAGUCCUGGCCUUGUUCUCAUCUCAGUGGAAGAGAGUGGCAGGAGCUCAGACGUGCGCUAAGUGUGUGAGAGUGUGAAAGCGUAAGAGUGUAAGAAUGUAAGAGUGCAAGGGAACGGCCUUACAGGUCGGAAAGGAUAAAAGAGUGAGUGUACAGGCGCUGCCUAGUCUUGUCGAAGCCCACGUCGUCUGGUGUGGUAUAGCCUCCAUCCUCGGUCCCUGUUCUCCUCGUCAGGCCACUCCGUCAUAGCAAGUAGGUUUACGGCGGUACUGUACAGGCAUACGCAGGGCGUGGCACGGUACGGUUCUGCAUACGGCCAGCUGACUCGGGUGCUUCCUCGUUAUCCGUCCCACCUGCUCCCUGGGUCCACACUGAGCGGGCGUCCCCGGUCGGUUGUCCUAGUUGGCCCCGACCGAGUUGGUCGAGGGGAGCGGUAUGGGUGGUAUGGGUGGUACGGUGUAUCCCCAGCUAGGAGGACUCAGUCGGGAGUACCCGGUCGGGAGAGCUCAGUCAGGAGAACUCAUUCUAGGUCGGACUGUGGUCCCACCCCUGACUGGCUCUUUCCGACCAGGCUUCCUAGUCGGAGGAGUCGGCUGGUGGCCGGAUCAUGGUCUCGACCUGGCUACGUGUAGCCGGCUGGUCCAGAUGUGUAUUGUUGCUAUGCCCUUUGUUGGGCCAAGUAUUGCGGGAAGACAGUCCCGUUGGGGACCCUGGGUUUAUGGACCCGUUAGGAGCCCCUGAGCCCCUUUGGGGCUUUGUUGAAGCCGUGAAGGGGCUUUCGAUCGGCAGGUUGCCGUUCCGUCAGGGGGAACACAUAGUGGUGUUGCUUGUUUUUGUCUUAUUCGUGAAGCGGACAAGCCAUAUUACGGGGUCUGACCCCGUUUCCAAGAUGAUAAGGAUGAACUUCCACGGGGUUCAUACCGUUGCCUCGUGACCCGGUACCUUCGCCUCGAUUUCUGAUGCCUUUUACCGCGUAGUAGUCAAAUGCGUAGGGUAGCCGAGUAGGUUCAGGCGUUCUAGCUCCCGAGUAGAUAUGGGUGCCCAGCCCUCGAGAGGACAAGUGGCAGAGGCCGCAAGGGCACGUUAGAUAGAUGCUGACACCUAGAUCCCAAGGGAAGGACUAGCAUGGGCCGCGGGUGCACGCCGAGUUGCGGAGGGUGCCCGGCUCCCGAGAAGGAGACUUGUUUGUAGUCUGCCUUCUGUCAGGUUUGAGCGAGCGGACCCAGUGGGUCUAGCCCCCGAGCCUGCGACUAACUAAGGAGUUUUCAUGCAUCACCCCGUCCGCGGUCUCCUCGACCGGAGGGGUUGAGUUAACGCCGCUUGCCUCGAUAGCUUGAGUGACGUGCUCGGUGAGCUCGCUAAUAGGCAUGUCCGAGUGGAAUCCGGGUCUGUUGUUCGUAACGGGGUCGGCAUAGCCCUCAUGUGGCAUUCCACUGCUCCUUAACCCGCCUCCCGGUAGAUGCCCAAGCCGUUUCGGAGACCGACUCAGGUGGCCCGCUAGCCUCCCCUCGAUGGAGAUUCUAUGGGCAUGGAUCGAGGUCAGAAUCGAAUGAGAAGGUUGAGAUGAUCCCGUCCGCUUCUGAGUGGGUCAGGCGAAGGCCGUUGGGGCUCCAUCCGCGUUUUCCCCUAGCUCUGUUUAACGCGAGGCAGCCUCGAGCCCUUCGCGGGCCGACCUUCGAACCCCGGUCGAUCGCAGCUCAUAUUGAAUGAACCGCUAUUGCUUCUUGACACGACGCAAAGCAAUUAAGAUGCAAUGGUUGCACGUAUGAGAUGAAUGUAUGAUGCUUGAAUGGAUGCAUGCAUGCAUGAAAUGGAUGAAUGAAUGCGUGUUCGCUCGUAGAGAAAGUAAGUGGGGGGCUAGUAAAGUUACCUUGGUCAGACAUUCAGGCAUCACCCCAUCUGUGGUUUUUGCACCAGAGGGGUUAAGCUGUCGUUGCUUAUCUCGACGGUUUGAGCGACAGGCUCGAGGCACCCUUAACGGGUACGCUCGAGUGGAAUCCGUAUCCGUCGUUCGUGACGGGGUCGGCAUGUCCUGCAUGUUAGUUUUCCAUUUGUUUUUGCUUGUCUCCCAUCGGAUGCCCGAACCGUCCGACUGACCCAAGUGGCCUGCUGGCCUCGGUUCGACGGAGACUCUGACAGUGGGUCCCUUUGCUUUGUUCAACUGACCCAAGUGGCAUGUUGUCCUCGGUUCGAUGGAGGCUCUGAUAGUGGGUCCCUCUGCUCCCUUGCCUCAAAAGGCGAAGGGGCGCUUGUGUGCGGUUGUGCCCUGUUUUUCGCGAUUUCGCUGCAAUAGCAGGUGGGCUCCUCCCGGGCCAUGCCCCAUCGCAUAGGGUCGCGUCCCGUCAGUUACGUCCUGUCUGCCAGGGCUCCGCGCCCCCUUCCCCAUUAAAUAGGGGGAGAGGCGGAGGUUUUCUAGCCCGUCCUUUCAUCUUCCCCGAUCGCUACUGCUUUCUCUUCCGCCCUUCCGCCAAAACUUCCUUGCGCACUGUGGUGAGUUUCGGUAGAGAGGAGGGUCAAGGGAGAGAGUGAAAGAAGCCUUACAGAUCCAUUCGUCGCCUCCCGUUGCGCGAUGUCGAACUGGAAGCCGUCCAUCGUGAAGGAGGAUUUGCUGGAGGACUUCACGAGGAGGCGGUUGCGGGUUGGAGAGUGCCGGAGGCGGGGACCAUCAUCCCACGACCCGAGCCUGACAAGGUCAUCUCCUUCCUCGCUUUCCAUGAGCGUGGGCUUGGAUACCCCACGCAUUGGUUUCUGCGUGGGCUCCUUCACCGCUGAGGGUUGGAGUUGCAGCACCUCAACCCCAACGGGGUGCUGCAUAUUGCCGGUUUCGUCACCGUCUGCAAGGCAUUCCUCGGGAUGGAGCCGCACGUGGAUAGCUUCACGCGCGAGUCAGGAGGGUACCACCAAUUCUGAUGCAGUGGUGCAAGCUGGGACGGAGUCGGGCGUUGUCCCGACCGGGACCGACCCAAGCAUCGACCCGACUGCGACUGGGGAGCCCUCGUCCUUGUCAGUUGCGCCGCCAACCGAUCCGGCCGAGGGGGAGCAAUAGAAUAGGGAUAGUUAAUUUCUUUAUGUAUGAAAGAAGUUUGCGGGGGACUGUGAGCCUCCGAGUGAACAAUUUUAAGUUCGUUUGUGAUCGUGAUGGGGAGCUUGUCCCGCCCGUUCUUGUUUUUGCCCUUAAGCAAUUUCUACUUUUCACCCUUUCCCUUUCAGACCUGCCCGUUGACCGUAGGCUGCAACCUUAAGAACCCGGGCGUGGCCCGCGAGGCUCAGCUGCUCAUAGCCGUAGCCGUGGCGGGGUCCGAUCAGUCCGCAAGCUAGAGCAUACGUUGCUUUUAGGGCGAAUUAGAGGAUGGGGUGCCCUUUCCUUCGGCACGCCCUUUUGUUCGGGCGAGGCGUGUGAUUACGCAAAAAGUAAAGAGGAGGUGGUGCCGCACCCCCGUGGAGCCCCCGAGCAACCCAGGCCGAGAGUGCUCGGGCUGGGGUGCUGUAGGAGCAAGUGUUGAAUGGAAAUGGACUAGUAAUAGACCGAGUUAAGGAAAGAAAUGGCGCAACUGCUCAAUGUUCCAAGUGUUGGUGAGGAUGUUGCCGUCGCCGUCCUUCAGUCGGUAGGCGCCUGGUUGGAUCACCUCGACCACCGUGUACUGUCCUUCCGAUGGCGGAGAAAGCUUGUGCUUAUCCUUGGUUGUUUGGGUCCUCCAGAGCAUGAGGCCACCGAUCUCGAGGAGGGGCCCUCGUCGCGAUCUUCGCGCUUGUCCUUGCCCUUGUCCCUACUGUCGUUGAAGACCGUCCCGACCGCCUCCUCGCUGGAGGCAUGAUUCGUAGCGAUGUCGAGCAGCUCGUGGGUGGUUCGGGGCUUGACGCGGCCGAGCUUGUGGACCAAGGACUUGCAUGUUGUCCUCGAGAGGAAUGCGUUGACGAGGUCUGCAUCGACGAUGUCAGGGAGGGAGUUGCAUUGCUUUGAGAACCUGCGGAUGUAAUCCCGUAGGGACUCGUUAGGUUCCUGCUUGCAACUCUUAAGGUCCCAGGAGUUCCCAGGGCGGACGUAUGUCCCCUGGAAGUUUCCUACAAAGACCUUCUUCAGUUCUGCCCAGUCGCGGAUGUUGUUGGACGGAACGAACUCGAGCCACACUCGAACGAACUCCCCUACGCAGAUGGGGAGGUACUGUAUAAUGAAAUAGUUAUCAUCGGCUCCUCUGGCUCGGUAGGCAAGCCGGAAGUCUUCAAGCCACACUUCAGGUUUAGUCUCCCCAAUGUACUUGGUGAUCUUGGUGGGCGGUCGGAAGCGCUAUGGGAAAGGUGCUUUUUGGAUACGACGACCGAAGGCCCACGGUCCUGGUCCGUUUGGGCUAGGGCUCUGGUCACCGUUCCGGUUGCUCGGUCGACCGACUCGCCUAGGGUGCACUUCUUCGCGCUUCUCGUCGGAUCGGUCGUGGGCCACAUCAGCCGCUCUUGCUGCCAUCUGUUCAACGUCAGCGUCGUGCCGUGCCAGGCGUCGCGCGUGGAUGACGCUACGCGCAUCACAGUUCAGCCCGAUCUGCUCGCGCAUGAGCUGACGCCGCGGUGCUGGUGCCGGGUCGGGCUAUGGAGCUGUUGUAGGGCUCUGCCCUGCCCGACGUGCCUGCAAGGGCGAGCGGAUGGAGUGGUUCGGCUGGUGUGGCCCCAACGCUCCGGUUGGGCAAGAGGUUGCGUGUCGCGACGCGGAGCUCUCCGCCUGCUAUACAGCGGCGGUUUCCACCAGUGCCCAAAGGUUCCAGUGGAUUGCCUGCUCCUGGGGGUCAGCUGGCUCGGGGAGGCUACGCAGAAGUAUCACUGCGGUGGCGAUGUUCUAUCCGACCUGAGCGAACUACGGGAGGUCGUCCACUCCUGCCAGGAUGUUGCGUUGGACUUGGCGGGCGCGGCCUCAAGCGCCACUUGCUAGGUUGCGCGCGUACGGCGUAGAGUGAUGCGUUGGGUGCAUUGGUCCGGCUGCCGCUGUCGCAGCUCGUCGCCGUGCGCCUACGCUUGCGUCAGGGCCUCCGCACGGUUUUUCGAUGGGGUGUGAGUCUCAACAGACUCCACCACCUCCGGAAGCUGUUCCGGGGUGUCAGCUAUGGCACACUCCCAGGACAGAGGAUGGUCAAGUGCCAUCAUGUCGUCAAUGCUGGAGCCGUCACUCUCGAGCUCCUCAUCGCAGAGGUCGUGGAAGGAGGCAGGAGCAUAGUCCGCUGUUCCCACGAACUCGCACGGGUGGAUAGAUGACGUCAUGACCCUCUAGAGCCCCCAUAUGUACGCGUCCACGGGGGACGCAAGACCGAAGGGGAGCCAACCACAUGGCCAACAUGGUAGGGACAACGGAGCUCCUUCGGAGAGCUGGUUGAAAGUGUUAGCUAGUGAAUACAUGAUAGUAUCCACAUCAUUCAUCAUGUGGAUCGUGCCCAGCAUGGACUUGAUGCGGAGCGUAAGUGCCUUCACGUCGAGGUCGUCGAGCGGCUCGCGGACGACGAUGUGAGCCACCUUUUCCGGGGAUGCCGGGAGAGUCAUCUCCUCGCGGAGGCGGAGUACGCCGAGUUGAUCGGUGACGAAGUCCAGACUUCCAAAGCGAAAGGCCUGGGAUGGCACGAAGAUGGGUGGAACCCACGUCCCAUCGAGGGUGGGUGUAGGAAACUCCAGCGAGCCGAAGCGAAUCGUAUCGCUCCAGCCCUCCAUGCCGAAGAUGGCGGUGAGGUGGGCCAUCCGAUGACCUGCAGAACGCGAACGCAAUGCCGCAUUCCCCACGGACGGCGCCAACUAUCAGUGCGAAAUUUGGCUGACAAGUAAAUAUUUAUAGUUUUGCCGUGCGUUAGAUCGGAUGUGGCCUAUCACACAAUGACACAGGAUGUAUACUAGUUUGGGCAAUGCGCCCUACGUCCAGUCGGGUUCAGUUGGUCAAUUUUAUUCCUGAGCUCAGGUGCUUAAAGUUUGCAGUGGAGGUAUAAACAAGAGGAGGAUGAGAGUGGGUGCCUGAGUCCUGGCCUUGUUCUCAUCUCAGUGGAAGAGAGUGGCAGGAGCUCCGACGUGCGCUAAGUGUGUGAGAGUGUGAAAACGUAAGAGUGUAAGAACGUAAGAGUGCGUAAGUCGUAGAGGUGGAGGUUCUGUCUCCUUUUAUAGUACAAGGGAACGGCCUUAUAGAUCGGAAAGGAUAAGAGAGUGAGUGUACAGGCGCUGCCUAAUCUUGUCGAAGCCCACGUCGUCUGGUGCGGUAUGACCUCCGUCCUCGGUUCCUGUUCUCCUUGUCAGGCCAGUCCGUCGUAGCGAGUAGGUUUAUGGCGGUACUGUACAGACAUGAGCAGGGCGUGGCACUGUACGGUUCUACGUAAGGUCGGCUGACCCGGGUGCUUCCUCGUUAUCUGUCCCACUUGCUCCUUGGGCCCACACUGAGCGGGCGUUCCCGGUCGGUUGUCCCAGUCGGCCCCGAACGAGUCGGUUGGGAGUACCCAGUCGGGAGAGCUCAAUCAGGGUCGGACUGUGAUCCAACUCCUGAUUGGCUCUUUCCGACCAGGUUUCCUGUUCGGAGGAGUCGGCUGGUGGCCGGAUCGUGAUCUCGGCCCAGCUACGUGUAGUUGGGCUGACGUGUAUUGUUGCUGUGCACUUUGUUAGGCCAAGUGUCGCGGGAAGGUAGUUCCGUUGGGGUUUCCGGGUCUAUGGACCGGUCACUAUGUAUAAAAAAAAUCAAAAAUAAUUUAGGAUGGAGGGAGCAGCAUUUUAGCGUCGAUUGUGGAACUGUUGCACAAGGAAACGUGGCCGGUACUCCAACCUGCCAGAAAAACUGAAAUGCAAUGAGAUUUACCGGUAAUAAGUACAGAAUCAAGUAAGGUGGCGACACAGAAUCUUCAUAAUAGUUUUAAGUACACCAAGUUUCGUUUCCUAAUCUGUAUUCUUCCUUCCCUUUUGGUUGUCCCUUUCCUCUGUGCUUUACUCUCCUCCUGUCCCCCUCCCUCCUGUGCGGCGGUGCCCAUCGCAAUAAAAAUAAAAAUCAAUAAGAGAGAGAGAGAGAGAGAGAGAGAGAGAGAGGAGAGCAACACCGGCUGCUUAAUCUCUUCUUCUCCCCGGCUUAUCUCCAAGGGCGCAUCUCCAGAAGCGGGAGGGAGGAGCGGAGCGGCGAAUUCUUGUUUUUGCGCAGGAUGUCUUCUCCAAGCAAGCGCCGGGAGAUGGACCUCAUGAAGCUGUGAGGAUCCUGGGGGUGUUUCAGUGAUUUUCCUUUGGGAUUUCGAUGGGGAUUUCCUUGAUCUGUGUUUCUGUUGCCUGUUGAUGGCUGCAGGAUGAUGAGCGACUACAAGGUGGAGAUGGUGAACGAUGGGAUGCAGGAGUUCUUUGUUGAAUUCCGUGGGCCUAACGAAAGUACGGAUUUUGGCGCAGGAGGCCGAUUUGAUUCCAUCUCUUUCGUCGAUGAUUGUGUAGCUUCUGAUUUCUAAUCUAGAUAAAUUGAAGAGCGAGUUUUCAGGAAGCUGAGUUUUUCUUGAUCAUUGUGGGCUUGUGGCCUUUAGCUUCCAUUGAUGUAGCUCUGAGGACAGCUAUAAUCAGAUCCCCAAUUUAACCUGUUGCUGAGCUGCUUUUGCUUUCUGUAUUGCCAUUAGUAUCUGAAUGAUGUACUUGAAGCGUCAGUCUUGUUCCGCAUUAGUGAUUUAGGAUGAUCAGCAACACUAUCUGAAGGAUGCUUUGUUGAAUUUAAUAGGCAUUUAUCAAGGAGGCGUGUGGAGGAUUAGAGUAGAAUUGCCAGAUGCAUAUCCAUACAAAUCCCCAUCGAUUGGUUUCAUCAAUAAGAUAUAUCACCCAAAUGUGGAUGAAAUGUGAGUACCUUGGACUCCAUGAUCUGUUGAUUUGUCAAUUCAAACCACAAUAACAGUCUAGUUACUAACCACUUCUGGAUCAAUGUGAACUGUAGGUCUGGUUCAGUUUGUUUGGAUGUCAUCAACCAAACAUGGAGCCCAAUGUUUGGUAAUAAUCGAUCCUUACAUUGCAUUUGCUUGUAUAGACAUCCAGUUAAUUUUUUGUUUUUUUAAAAAAGACAUCCAGUUAAUUUUCUCUGUUCUGUGCAACUGGAGCCCCAGUUGCUUUGUACUCUGUUGCAAGAGGGUCAAGUUUAAAUAUCUAUGUGCGAUGUUUUGCAGACCUUGUCAAUGUAUUUGAGGUCUUCCUUCCACAACUUCUACUAUAUCCGAAUCCUUCUGAUCCAUUGAAUGGAGAUGCAGCUGCAUUGAUGAUGCGUGAUCGGCCUGCUUAUGAACAAAAAGUGAAAGGUAAGAAGGUUACACAUUGUCUGUUUAUUAGUACCUUUAUUGCAACCUGCUUGGAGAUUACAUAAAAUAUUUAACAAUGGCACUGAGCUGAGAUGCAGUCGUACUGAAUUUUCGUUGCAGUUUGCACCAGUAGAAUGAGUCAAUCCAUCUUCUAUACAUGGCAGUCUUGUAAUUCUGACUAAUCAAUUUGAUCUCCCACGCUAUGUUUGUUUAGUGAACAACCCAUCUUAUGUGAUAAAUACAAGUUCAAGAAUACUUCCAGACAGGUUUUUAAGUUCUUACCAAAAGCCUUCCUAGAAUAUUGGUUAUUAUAGGCGCUCAUUGGGUUCACCAUAUAUAAGUAAAUACAACUGUUAGGUUCUAGUAAAUAUUCUUGACUAGAGCAGUUUUAUUGAGUAAGGCCUUGUUGGAAAUUGCUUAUAGGUUUUGAGCUCGGCAUGUGGUUUGAGUGGACUUCGAAUCUGUAAGCUGAUAAAAUUGUUUAGUUGCCAAUGUAAGAAAAUCCCUGUGUCAGGAUGGGAGUUGGCACAGGAUGGGCUGUUUCUUAUUGAUGCGGUCAUGGGGACAAUGCAAACAAACAGGGUUUAUUGGUUGCAAUGUGGAUGUCCUCCAUAUCCACAAGAAAUCCUGAAAAUAUUGUAGAAUAUGAAUAUAUAUCUUCAAUUGGAAUUCUCUGGUGGGGAAGUUCCAUGGACCUUCCAGCACGUACCACGUGUUCUGGUGUUAAGAGCUUAAUUAUCCCUGUCCUUUAGAGUUCCAUUUCAUUCACUGAAUUAACUUAUCAUGAUGCUAUGGAGCUGUUCCUCUACUAGAAUGUAGUUCCUUAGCCAUUUUGUUUUUUUAUUGAAUCCUAGUCUCUUCCUCAGUACUCAAGAGAUGAGUUUUCAUUGACCAUGUUUCUGCAGAAUACUGCGAAAAAUACGCCAAACCAGAGGAUGCUGGGGUAGUCCCAGAAGACAAGUCUAGCGAUGAAGAGCUAAGUGAAGAAGAAGAUGACUCCGGUGAUGAGGAGAUCCUUGGGAAACCAGAUCCAUAGUCAAGUUGGAACCUAUAUCUCUGGUUGAUCAGCACACAAUGUUUAUUGCAGCAACUGCAAUGAAACAGUCUCUGAACCCUUCCCGUGCAGUCUGAAUGUCGUGUAAAUAAACUGCAGUGUCAUGUUCCCUAAUGUUGUUUCCAUCCUCAAAUUGACCAAUUCGAUGUCCAGCAGCACUAGUUUGCCCCCAAGUACCAUGAUGUGCAGAUUUCUGCAUUGGAAUUGGCCGAUUGUUUCAAUAUCUGCGCAAUUGUUCACAAGCAAAUACCCCAAUAAUUCAGAUGAUGUUGGGAUUGCUGGCGUACACAUUUUCAAUCUGUGCAGAGCUUCUUCACCCUCCUUGAGACAUUGACUGACAAUGAAAUCCUGAAUUGUUGGCUAGCCUGGUGGUAUAUGAAUAAAAAGUACUCCGUACAUCAUAAGUGGUGGUGUGGAUGCAAAUUCUCCGAAGAUUUUAAUUCUUUUGGAUUAGCAAUGCGAUUUAAGAACUACUUAUAAGGUUUUAUAAGCAAAAUCCUCAUGGCUUCCAUGCAACUCGGAGAUGGAAUCAAGCCACAUGGAGGAACACGCAACAGAUUUGACUUGAUCAAGCCGUUUGCGUCGUGCGCGAUAGUGAUUUGGUUUGCCACGCUUGUGCCGUUGGCCGCCCAAACCACACCAGUCCUCACAUGGCGAGAUUGGCGUGGCAAGGCGCACUCGCCGCCGCCUUCCUCCUCCUGUGCGCGGCCGCGGGGGUGGCGCUGGGGGCGAAGCGGGUGCCCAUCCCUGACGACCUGCGGGACGUGGUGGACGACGAGGAGGACGACGAAUGGCGCAACUGGGGCGCGAGCCAUUCGCGGGGGCCGAACCGCGGCGACGGCCCGCCGCCUGACCUGUCACGGAUGGAUCCGGCCGCCCUCCAGGCCGAGCUCCUCCGCGGCCAAACCGGGCCCUCGUUCGGCUUCGUCAAGCUCCGCCCCGGCACUCCUCGCUCACGGGUGCGGAUCCCUCGAUCGCCGCCACGGCCGCGCGCUCGUUGCCUCGUUUGACCAUGGCAUUAUUUUUUUUCCCAGGAGGAUGUGGUGGGGAUUGCAACGAGGUGGAGCAAUGUGCUGCGGACCGGAUCGGUAGAGGCCAAAUUCGUUGCUGUUGAUUUUGGGACGCUCAUGUUCACCAUGGAGAGAGGGCAUGACAUUCUAGAGGUUGGGGCUUGCUUCCUUUGGAUUGAUCUUCUUCUUUCUUUCUUUCUUUUUUCUGAACAAUGCUGGGCUUGACGAUAAAGUGGGGUAGUACCGUGGUCUUACGACCUAAAUAAUGCUACCCUUGAUCUGACCAGUUCACCUCAAGGAUUAGGCCUUGAGAAAAUGUGAUCAAUUUACUGGAACGCUCUCGUUCACGUUGAGGCUCCACUGGUUCAAAAGUGUAAUUAGUAGGGUAAGGUGAGGAUCGGCUAAUAUACUUCAACUCUACCCUUUUAAAUGGGAUUGUGAUGUAAACUGGAAGUGGACUGCAACUAGUUUUACCUGAAAUUUGUGGUAGCCAUGUUUCAAAAGUGGCUCCUUUUGGCUUUGAUGAGACCAUAUUUGUACCAGUUCAUCCAAAAGUUUAAUUUCUAAGUAAACUUAAGCAGUAUGCAUUAUCAGCAUCUGCCACAGAUCAUUAGCUGAAUAAGUGUUUAUGCUUAUCUAUGGCCAUGGAGUAAAAAUUUUAUAUACGGAUACUAAAGGGAAUAGUAACAAGUCUACAAAUGUCUACUGAUCUCACGGUUCUAUUUAUAUUUGCAUCUAGAAUGGACCUAUUUUUUUUUUAGAAUGUACCAUUUUUCCGCUACAAUCUUAUUGUGAUAACUCAAUGGUAGUGACUAAGCAUCACAAUUGUUAUACCAGAAUAAGUAACAGACGUGAUUAUCUUUAUACCAUUGGGAUCGAGGUGUUUUCCCAGAAUUGCAUCAGUUGCCAUUUUCAUAGCAUAGGAUGUGAAUUGAGGCCUCAGACUACCGGAAAACGUGAUUGUGCAAUAACCCAUUCAGUUAAGCAUGAUCUUUGCUGUUGGAUUUUCUGAUUCUGUUCUUUUCAUUUUAUUUGUUCCAGCUGAAAGAGUUUAUCUUGAGCCAAGCUGAGGCCUACGAGUUUAAGAUUGGUGAUCAGAUUUUCCGCAGACCUGGAGACCCACCCCUGGACCAAGUUCUUGAGAAGCUAAAGAAACAGAAGAGUCAUAAAUCAAAAGAUGAACUGUAGUAGAUUCAUUUGCUAAAUCGUACUGCAUGCCUUGUAACACAAGUUCCUUGGCCUAUUCGUUCAUACUUGUUUUACAAUUUCGCUUGAGUGGCCGUUUUACAUUUUACAAUCUUGGACGAUCACAAGUAGUCCUCUUUGGUAGAAGGGUUCUCUUCCUUUUUUUUCUUAUUUUUUUGUGGAGGGCUAGAACGGUUCUCUUCUUCUAAAUGCUCUGUGUCACUGCUCGAGUAUUGUAACCACCAUGCUUUUGCCAUCCAUUUUGAGUGAAAGAAUGCGGUCGUCCUUGAUGCUAGACGUUGCCCGUUGUUUUCUCUUGCUGUUUUGUCAGUUCAUUUGUUGCUGUCUGUGUCUGGCGUAGUAUUUGUAAACUUUUGUUGAAUGUGCUCAGCACACUGUGAGCGGAACUGAAGAACCAAUCAUUUAUGAGCAUCAGAAGCAACUGCCAAGAUCCUCAUCCAGAAACCAAUAGCGACACCGACACAAGUACGUGAUGCCUUUGGCUGUCUGGCGUAAUCAGCGACCAACAGCGACGUCACUGCCCAUCACUGAAGCCUAGUCGCGUAGAGACCGCAGGCCAACAGCGACGGCCGCCAUGCCACCAUUUGCCUGUCUGUCUGUCCAACGCGGUGUCUCUUGUGCAAGCCACUGCAGUGUUGAAGAACUCUGUCGCUAAACUUAGUAUCAUGUCUUGUUAAUCCUCUGGCAUACAGAAGUGCACGACACCAAGACCCUGAUGGAAGUCGUCGUCGAGCUUCGACUUCCGCGAGCAGUACACCAGCGCGCUCUGCACCGAAUCCUACAACAACUUCUAGGCGGUAGGCGCGCGUCCUGGACAUCACCCUUGCGCAAGGCGCCGGCCGGCCUGGUGCCGCGUCCGGGCGGCGGCACGGCGUCCAAGCGCCUCCCCUCCUACCGCCUCUUGGCGUAGGUGGACUAGCCGCGCUCCUGCCCGUUCAACUUCAGGACGAGGCCGUCGGAGCCGCCGCUGUAAGAAUCCGCGCCGCCGCCGUCGAACGCGCCGCUCUCCGGGCCGCGCAGCAGCGACCCGCGGAGCGGCAGAUGCUGGCUCCGGCUGCCGUCGAUGGUGGCUGUCUCGGAGACGGGGCGCGCGGCGUCGCACCGCGGGAGGAGGAGGUGCAGGACGGCGAGCAAGGAGAUCGCCAACGUCAGAAGCUCUUCUUGCUCAUGAUGACUCCCAUGGUUGUGGACUGCUUGGACCUUGCACUGGUUAGCACCUUUGCCGGGUACGGCGCCGGCAGCAAGUCAGGUAGGUCCCUCCGCUAGUCCGUGAGCAGAUCCCAGACGGUGAGGGCGCAGCCCCCGGAGACGUCCCUCUUGGGGUCCCAGCGCAGGAGAACGCGACAGCGGCGGCGGGCAUAUAGCGCGCGCCAGCCGCGGAGGCCGGCGGCGGGCAUCUAGCACGUGCCCGGCGAGGCGUUGCAGAGGAAGGCCAGCGUGGGUGGCGCGCGGUGGCGCUCGCGGAAGCCGGGGCCCGCGACGAGCGCGGGUCCGCGGGCAGGAAGCGCGGCACCUCGACAAGCUCGAGCUCCGAGAUCGACGUGACCGUGGCGAACCGCUUUGACUUGGUCAUGGGAUCCUAGCCGUGCGAAUGGGAUUCGACGGUCCAAGUUGCCUAAGGCCCGGACGGUAAAUGAGAUACCGUCCGGGGUGGGCGGUAAAUGAAAUACCGUCCACCCCGGGCGUCCAGCGCGCGCUCCCCGCUCGCCGCCGCCGUCGCGCCGCCCCGGCUUCGUCGGAGAUCACGGCUUCGCGUAGAUGCGCCGCGCUCCCACCGGAGGUCUUCGUCUCCGUGUCCGAUGCCACAACGCCACCCGUUCCUGAGCGCCUCCUUCCGGCGCGGCGCCUUCGCACCUAUACUCGCCGCGCAAUGCCCGCGCACGCGCUGCGAUGAACCGUGGCGCGCGCGUGUCGCCGCCGCCUCGUCGUCGCCGUGGCCCGCCGUCCUGUUCUCCUCCGAGAUAACCGCCGCCGCUUUAAGGUAAUCGCAGACGGUGGCCGCAGCCUCCGCGGUGCCCCUGUCCUGCUGUCCACGACAGCGCUUGACCUCAGCUUGGGCACUCUUGCUUGAACUUGACUGACACGGUGGGAGCGCAUGUCUGUCUACAAUGGCAUAUCUGCACAAUACACGGAGAAUCGCGUCGCCCGUACACUGCAAAUGGCAAACUGAUGGUUUCUUCGUGCAGAUUAUCAAUCAGAUCACAAUCAGCAACACGCAUGGAUGGCGGACUGGCGGUGAACAGUCCGUUGCGUGCUGUCAAAAUUCCAAUCAGAAAUGGGGCCGGAAGAGAAGUUAAACGACGCAUCUAAUGUUCAGAAAACGCUCCAGCUAAUGUCGCCCGACUAAAUGAUCAUCUUCUUGGGACUAACGUAACGUUCCUGUAUACCUGAUUUCAAUCCGUGCAUGAUGUACAUUUGACCCGGAACCUUUCAGAUCUCUGAAGUCUUACUGCUCUAUACCCUUAUCAGUGUCUGCAUGUUACUCAUUCUUCUUUUCCUGUUCAAGGCUAAUGUUCAGGAACAGGUGCAGGCUAACGCAUCAAAACAUAGAGCAGCAUUACCCAUUAUUCUUUCCCUUCUAACUCUACGGUACAGGUGGCUGAUCAUAUCAGUAAAACAACUACUGUAAAGUGAGCUGAACUUUUGCUCACACAGAGAUUUACUCGCAAAGCAUUAGAGCACCAGCACUUUGCCUACACAUGUAUUCUGAAGCAUCAGAAAGAGCAAAGGUUGACAAACAAAACUUUGACUGUUCUGAAUGCUUAAAACUGCAACAAAGUGUAACAUGCUGUCUGCUGCAUCUCAGGACCUGAAAUAAAGAUGAUACGCACGCAGCAGUCGGGGUGAUCGCCGUCGCCCGCGCAGAGCAACGCGGCGGCGUUCUGGCGGUACGGGUACGGCGGCGCUGGCAGUAAGUCAGGUAGGUGAGGAAGAGGGCGCAGCAGGACGCGACCGUGGCGGAGGCUGGUCGGUUGCGCUCGCCAGGAGCGGAGGCCGGCCGGGACGGAGCCGGGGCGAGCGGAAAGUGGAGACGGGGACGAAGUGCGUGCCGGGCCAGGCGUCGCAGGGGAAGCUGAGGAUGGGCGGCGCGCGGUGGGGCUCGCGGAACGGGCGGCGGAAGCCGGUCGGGGCCCGCGACGAGAGUAUGGUCGGCGGACGGGAAGCGCGGCACCUCGACAUGCUCGAGCUUCUCUCCCGUCGUGCGGUCGUGGCGAUCCGCUUUGACUUAGCCUCGAGCUCCUGGCCUCGCGAAUGGGAUCCGACGGUCCAGAUGGCCUAAACCCCGGACGGUAAAUGAAAUACCGUCCACCCCGAGUGUCCGGCGCGCGCUCGCCGCCGCCGUCGCGCCCUGCUUCGUCGGAGAUCACGGCUUCGCGUCGAUGCGCCGCGCUCCCACCGGAGGUCGUCGUCUCCUUGUCCGAGGCUAUAACGCCACCAGUGCCUGAGCAAAUCCUUCCGGCGCGGCGCCUUAGCACAUAUACUCGCCGCGAAAUGCCCCACGCACGCGCGGCCCGCGUGUCGCCGCCGCCUCGUCGUCGCCGUGGUCCGCCGUCCUGUUCUCCUCCUAGGUAACCGGCGCCGCUUUGAGGGCCUUGCCGGCGGUGUCCGCGGCCUCUGACAUGACCCUGUCUGAAACAGCGCGUGACCUCAUCUUGGGCACUCUCUGCUGGAGCUUCACUGACACGGCCGGUGCGCGUGUCUGUCUGCAGUAGCAUCUCUGCACGAAACAUGUAGGAUCGCAUCGCCCCUACGCUGUAAACGUCAUCGUGAUGGUUUCUUUGUGCAGUGCAGGUUAUCAAACAUAUUACAAUUGUCAGUUCAUCUGUUGCUGUCUGGCGUAGUAUUUGUAAUUUUUGUUGAUUGUGCUUUGCACACUGUGAGCCGAACUGAAGAACCAAUCAUCUUUGAGCGUCGCAGAAACAAACUACAAACAUCCUCAUCCAGAGACCAAUAGCGACGCAAGUACGUGAUGCCUUUGGCUGUCUGGCGUAAUCAGCGACCAACAGCGACGUCACUGCCCAUCACUGAAGCCUAGUCGCGUAGAGACCGCAGGCCAACAGCGACGGCCGCCAUGCCACCAUCUGCCUGUAUGUCUGUCUGUCCAACGCGGUGUCUCUUGUGCAAGCCACUGCACCCUGGCCACCCAUUUUGCCCCUCGGCUGGCUGGGCCGGCCACGAUCACGAGGAGGCUUGAGAUACCCGCAACCCGCCUAUAUCCGAACAAUCCCCAGCUCCACAUCCGCGUCGUCGUCACAACUCACAAGAGAACACUGUUCCUUAAGGCAGAAGGCGAAGUAUAGCGGGAUAGAUCCUCGGAGCCCACCCCUUUUGUGCGGCACCGCAGAAUUAAUCAGGGAUCAGAGAAAGAUACGGGCGCCCGAUUAGAAAUAUCUCAGGCUCUCAGCAGAACGUUCUCUGAGUGGCACGUAUCUAAUCCUCCUGCAUUCUGGACCACACGGCCCUGUGCCGUGACGCCGCCAUGCCGGUGGCGUUCGCAGCUGGCGAAACGCUCGGGCAGACGCAACGCAACCCGCGCGUCCGGAUUUCCCGGUGCAUCCACAGCCACCCUCAUGCACGUCGCGGUCGCGCCCAUGGCUCGCCACGCGGGCAGCCACGGGCAAGCAACGAACGGGGAGCGCGGGGCCGGGCCGGGGGGGGGGGGGGGGGGGGGGGGGGGGGGGGUGGGUGCCCCACUUGCCACGACCCGACGGGCGGAUGGCGUGGCUGCUGUGACAUUCCAGUACGUGCGCGUGUCGUCUGCUGGCCUCGCGUAGACGCGCGGCCACGGCGGCGGUUUUCUUUUCUCCCGUUGAGUGCUGGCCAACCUCUUGUGCUUCCUUCCAAGCUUCCGCCUAAUCGCAGAGGUCUAGAUAGCGGGUGGCGAGCUGGAGAUUGAACGGGGAGACUUGUCUUCGCGCCCAAGGCCGGUUUCCACGUCGAGAUCGAUCGACAGAUAUCUUGGACGGAGCCGGCCGCGCGCCCGGGCCUUAUAAGCUCUCUCUCCGCCCCCUGGCUCUCCUCACUUUGACUGGAAAGAAACACGGGUCGGAUCGAUCGAGCUACAGGAAACUGAACGCUCGCACUUUGCCUUGCCGAGGAGAAGGAAGGAGCUUAUUGGAUCGAUCGAAUUCGUCGUCGGCCUCGAUCGAUCGGCAGCUUGCAUUGGUCGAUCGAUGGGCGUCGCGUUCGGGUGCUUCGGACUCGGAGGAGGGUGCGUGCCGCGCGACGGAGAUCACGGCCAGCAAGGUAUGCAUUGCAUUCGUGUAUGUACAUUACAUUGAUGCAUUUUAGUGUGAACUGAAUGAUCAUGUCGUUCCUACAUUGAUAUAGGAUAAUGCAUGCGCACCUGUCGAUUAAUCGUACAAUGUCUGAUCAUGCUAUCAUCACCGCGCGCACGUGCUUUGAAUUCGUGCGGUUGCGUCCGUGCGUGCAUGCGUGUAGCGACACGCCAAAAAAAGGACCAGCCGCAAAACAUCCGUAAACGAUGCAUGUUGUCGCUUCGCUUUGACACAUAGCAAAAUGCACAAUCUUGUUUACAUCAUCCAUCAUUUCUGCAUUAUUAGGAAACUUAAGAAAUUAUAAACCCACCCCGUAUAUAAAGACCCUGCGUGCACAUGCAUACCCAUUCACGAAACCUUGUGGACUACUGGAUCAUAGAAUGGGUGGUAAUAACAUGCUCAAGUGUUUCGGAGCUUGCAUCCAUCACCAUCAUCGCCAAGGUAGCUGCGCUGCGGACAUCCAUCCAUGAUGCGUGUUUCGUCUAACUAGCUUCUUUGCUUCAUUAAGGUCUCGUGACCCAUACACAUUUAGUGGAUGUCCAAGAACUCUGUCGCUAACCUUUAGUCUCAUGUCUUGUUGCUCUGGCAUGCACAGCAGUGCACGAUCCCAAGCCGCUGAUGACGCCGUCGUCGAGCUUCGACUUCCGCGAGGAGUACACCAGCGCGUUCCGCACCGAGUCCUACAACGACUUCUGGGCGCGCGUCCUGGACAUCACCCUCGCGCACGGCGCCGGGCUGGUGCCUCGCCCGGGCGCCACCGGCACGGCGUCCAAGCGCCUCCCCUCCUACCGCCUCUUCGCCGAGCACCUCCUCGAGCCUGACCAGCGCGCCGUCCGCGCGGCCCUCGCCUCGGCCCGCAAGGGCCGCCUCCACCCUGGCGUGCGCGACCUUCUCGCCGCCUACUACAACGAGACGGCCAGCGCCUCCUUCCUGUGCAGCCACCUCCUCAAGGACAUCGAGCAGAUCCGCCUCCGCUACCGCCCGCUCAAGAACACGCUCCGAAAGCUCGCCCGCGACGUCGGCGUGUCCAGCCUCGCCGACGUCUCCGCCGCCCUCGGCCAGCCGUUCACCGCGCUGGCCGUGUCGCAGGGCAAGCUCCGCCAGGUGCAGCUCAGCUCCGCCGACCUCCUCAAGAGCCUGGACUCCAGCAGGAAGAAGGCGCGCCUCCGGAUCAAGACCCUCGCCCGCCUCAGACAGGCGCUCUCGGUCUCGCUCAUCACGGUCGUCGCCGCCGUGGCCGUCGUCGGCGCCUUCAUCGGCGUGCAUAUCCUGGCCGCGUUCGCGGCCUUCCCGAUGAUCAUGUCGCCGGCGUGGCUGGGCCUCUUCUCCGGCCGGACGGUGCGGCGAGCUCUGGUGCAGCUGGAGGCUGCGGCCAAGGGCACAUACAUACUGAACAGGGACAUGGACACCAUAAGCCGGCUCGUGGCGCGGGUGCGCGACGAGGGGGAGCACAUGCUCGCGCUGCUGCAGCUGUGCGUGGAGCACCGCGCGCUGGCCGGCGAGAAGGGAAGGCUGGUGCAGGAGGUGUUGAAGCAGCUGUGCAAGAACGAGGAGAACUUUAGGCAGCAGCUGGACGAGCUGGAGGAGCACCUCUUCCUGUGCUUCAUGACCAUCAACAAGGCUAGGAGCAUGGUGAUGAACUUCAUGGCUGCCGCGGAGCAGAGUUCCGGCUGACCACGAGAAAGACAAAUUUGUGCGUGUAGAAUGUAGAACAGCGUGUACAUACAUGCAUACUAGUUUUUAUUUUUCAGUACAGAAAAAAAGAAAAAAAAGAUAGGCAAAGAAUUCUCAACACAGGCCUUUCCGCUUUUGUUUGAUUUUUUUCCUACCCAUAAACAGCAUAUUAAACAUUCGGAAUAAUAGCCUGAUCUAGUCUAGGGUUUAAAUACCCAGCAUACAUUGAAUUUCAAUAUAAUGAAGCGGAAACAAUAUCCACUCAAUUUUUCUGGAGCUAUGAGUACAAUAUUAAAGUGCAACCGCUGGGGUCACUACUAAGUAUGCUGAAUACAAUAAUAGCCUGAUUUUGGGUUUUACUACCCUGCAAAUGCUGAAUACCAGUAUUGUGAAACUGAACCAAUAGCCACUCUAAGAAUUUUUCAAGAGCUCAGAAUACAAAUACCCCAGUGCAAUCACAGGAACUUUGUUCAUUCACUACUAAUAUGUACUUAUGCCUUUACAGAACAUAUGACACGAUGCAAAUGGCCCAUGAUGGGAGUUUUCCACUUGAUUGUCUAAAAAACCAAGCCGCUUACAUAAGUACAUAACAGCAGAAUGGUGAACAGAAGGAACUGUAGACAAAACUGGUGCCAAAACUUGUAAGGCUCAAAUUUCGAUCUACACUUCUACUAUCAUAUCAUAAAUGGCAAUUGAGCAGUUUAUGUUAUAAAUGAAUUUUCAUCCAUGUAGUAGGGAGCCAAAUCAAACAGGUGAAAUUCUCCCUUCAGGCAUCUUUCUCUCCACUUGGCCAAUCUUUGAGGGUGGCCAAAUGAUGUGGGUCACCCUCCCCUGAAUUAGACCUAUGGGAAUCUGAAAAAAAACAGCACAAAAAAUAUUAAGUACCAACGCAGCAUACUUUAUAUUAACAAAUGAUAUUGGUUUCUUAUAAUUAUUGUGAGUUUAUUCACUUUUGCGGCUCAAAGUAGCCAAGAACAAACUGUGCGCCCAAUUUAAGCUUUCUCGCCAACCCCUAUAUCAACUUGUUGAUUGGACCAAUGACAAAUGAACUGAACCAUAGUGUCUAUCUAAACAAGCACACUACAAAUAUUGUUGGUAGCAGUUUUAAUGCUUUAUGAUUCAAUAAUUCCCAUGCUUGGCAAUCAAUAAAACAAUAUGUUCAGAACACAGACUAAACCAAGUUUGUUGCCUGUUUUUUCCUGAUGUAAGAUCAAAAUAGAGCUAUAUAAACAGGAAGACAGUUCUGCAAGUUGUUAAGCCUUUACUGUUCUCAUCAAGUAUAAAAGUGUGUGAUCCUGACCUCAGGUGCACUAACAUGAUUGCUUGUUGUGAACUUCUGAUAUAGGUUGUCUUGACUGUCACACUUUUUUGCUUUGUUUUCAUUUGUCAGUUUCUGCUUUUUUUUGUAUCUAGUUUGUGCAGUUUUGUCCAUUGUCCGCAGUGUCCAUAGGAAUUUGAUUUUCAGCAAAAAAGAUGCAACAAGGAAUAAGAGAUAAUUUACCAUUUUGUAAUAAUCUUAAGUAUUGUAGUUUGAUAUUAACUAUGCAUAUUUGAAUGUUGUAAUGUAUAAUAUGAUAUAGCAUUAUUCAAAGAGAUACCAGCAAGGGCAAGCAUGAAUGAAUUUUGUAUAUUCUGGUGUGUUUGGUUAUCUGCUGCCCUCUAUCACCUAAUGGUUAAUCUAGCCCCAGAUACUCCAUAUGCACAUUCUAGGCACCCAGUCUCCAUUUAAAAUGAUGGGUAAGUAUCUCAGAACUUGACCAGAGCACUCCCAUGAGUUUCAAAUUUUAUAACAAGAAGUUAAGCCUCAAAUUCUUUGCAUAAGUACCAGUGCUGGGCGGUUUGCUACAGCCUCCAUAGAUUUCAGAUCCACAAGCGUAUUAAGAAUACUGCCCCUCACGAUUGAAGUACGAAAAAAAUCCAACCAUGAAACAAAAAGUUCCCUAACCUGUCAAAAUUCGAUACUAAACAAGAACACUGAAUGCAUUAAUAAUUUUCAUUCAACCAACUUGUACAUUAUUAACCCAGACAAGGGUACAGAUGCAGGUUUGGAGAAGAAGCAACUUACUGGGCCAAAUGCUCGAGAAUCCCAACUACGAGCAGCAUUAUCACCUUCAACCCAGCAAUGCCCUUCUGGGAUCUUAGUAACCUUAGGGGACCCAGGGAGCUGUAUCCACUCACCAGGAAGUGCAAUCAAUCUCUUCACAAACAACUCCUUAUGAUUGCUAGGGCACCUGCAGACCACACAAGGAACAAUCAGACUCGACUCUCGAGACAUGGAACAAGUUAGCGCAUCAAUCUUUUUGUGGAAUUGCCCCCAUCCUUACUUGAACAAAACCACAUCACCAUGUGAGAACUUGUACUUCUCAAGGCAUCUUCUUUCUGCUAAAACGAAAUCACCUGGUUCCAACACCCUGGUCAGCACAAACGAGAAGACAAACUACUUGAAUAGGGAAGAAUGAACCAACUGUCCAUGACAGCUUGAUAUGUACAAAUUGAAAUCACAAUACCCUGUAAGACACUGUUGGCUGCUGUGAAGGUAGGAUACAUAGAUUCACCAGUCACCGAGACGAAUGUCACACAACGAUCGGAAAUGGUGACGCCAAGUAGAACUGCCAUUACAUUCUUCUUGGCAGUUGACCAAAUAUGGUUGUAGAUUCCCAUAUCCAAGUACCCAACUAUCCAGGCAGUCAUAAAGAUAGCAACAGUAAGUGAAAAUACUGAAUAAACACCAGUACAUCAAUAACUGGGCAGCUAAGACAAUGAACGGCGUAUACAAGAAAUGUGUGGAAGCAGAAAUUCCUCCGGCGGAUUUAACUUGGAGCAUGUGAAAUCAAUCAAGACUUACCAAGAAAUGGGGGUAAGGUUGGUACGGGUGGGUUUCCACUGAUCCAGCGGAGGGACGAGAAGAUUUAGCGCUGGAAAUUCGGAGAAGCAACUGCACUCUUGUACAGUUAUAUUACGGGGUAGAUCGAGGAUGCUUCCGAAGAGGCGCCCGAGAAGAACGGUGGGAUGCUGCCGUCGUCGUCGGCGGCGGCGGCGCGGGCGCGGGGGUUUGGUUUGGGUUGGGCCUGUUCAGUCGGAGAAGGCAGUGCGCGCCCUAGUCGAAAAGAAAAGGCAAAGCAGCCGUCCGAUCGCGCAUCAACGGUGUAAAUUAAAGCCCGUUUACUGGGGACUGGUGAGGGCGUGAGGCUGGGGGUUGGUACGGGUCUGGCUCCAGCCGAGCUGAGCCGAGGGAGGACCCAACUGUGCAUUAGGUCGGCUCCGACUCCGACCCGCAGCCGGCCCUGCCCACAGACAUCGCCCCCUGCCACCGUCGGCGGCGGCGACUGACCCCCGUAGCAAGGCGCCACCGCCACGCUUCGCCCCUGUCGCGCCGCGCGGCCACUUUCUGCGGCUGCUCUACCCCAGGCGAAACCUCCCAUCUCGUCACGGUAAGCACCACUUCUAUCACCGGGCGUCCGCGCCCUGUAUCCGUGCUCUUGGAUUCGACGAAAUCUGGCUUCGCACGGGCUUCUGUAGUAGGGUUUUUGCGUUUCAAAUAACGAAAUUUUGGGUUCGUCACUGGUCCGCCAUGCUGUUGCUUACAGCUUAAGUCACGGCCAUGGAUUUUGAUUAGGGUUUAUAAUAUGGUUUAGCGUCAGCAAAGUCUUGUUAUCGGUGCCUGUCUCAGGAAUAGGGUUUUGCGUCUCGGUAGAAUGUGUUAUUAGUGGCUUAAAGCGGAGCUGAUGAUCAGUUUGCAGCAGCGGGUGGUAGGCUAGAGAAUGCCGUGGAUCCUCAAGUCACAAAUGUGCAAAUUAUCCAUUUGUCCGGAUUUGAUCUGGUUUUAAUUGGGUUUCAUUUUUCUGAGUCUGUGACCUCUGUUCUAUGUUUUAGUAUGGGAUAUUUGAUGCUAUAGUAAUUUUGAUACUGUUAUUAGAAGGAUUGUGGAAUUUAGUUCCAUGAUAUAUGAAAAGUUAUGGUGUCAAUUACUCAUUGCUGUGUUUAUUGAACUUGUUGCCAGUCAAUUGUAUACAAGUUUCUUGUUUUCCCCAAUGCCAUUUUUAGAUUUUUAUCUUAUAUUACAGAUUCAUCCAUUACUUCCAACUCGUUAUAGUUAGGAUUCCCUUUUAUAGUUAUAGCAGCAUAGCAGACGUCUGUGGUUCCUUUUUGGAGUUCCAUUGUACUAUUGGAAUUUGUAUGCUUAUUGCUACUACUAAUGCUUAAUGUGCAGCAAAUUUAUAUUAGAGACUUCCUUUCGAUUGCAGACCUUGUUCUGCAGUUCUAUUAUAACAAGUUCAACUGUGGAAUGCUUAUUUCCUUUUGCUAUUGUCUACCUCAAUUUGAUAUUGUUUAUCAUUCUUUUGUGUAUAGAUACCUCAAGUUUCUAGCUACCUGACUGUAUGCAGUAGGAACUACGAUGGAUGGGUCUGAGUCUAGUAGAGGUCGCAGCAAGCAGGAAGUUGAGGAAAAUGUUAAUACAAGGAGCAGUUGGAAGGAGGAACAUGAAAAUCAGGAGAAUGCAGAUAGCAGAAAGUAUUCUGACAGAUCCAGAAAACAUGGAUAUGAAUAUGAAGUUGGGCAUCAGGAUGAUGAUAGGAUGAUCACACCUUCAAAUGAUAGGAAUGAAUCAAUGAGGAACUCAGAUAGAAGCUCAGGCCUGGCCCGCAGUGCUGACGAAGACAUCUAUAAUGUGAGAAAGGACUCACGAUCACCCAAACUUCCAAGGAGAAGCCCUGAUGAUUCCAAGGAUAGGGACUAUGAUAGAAGGAGGGGAAGAGAGGACAAGAAUGAAUGGGAACCUUCAAGAAGAUUUAGCCCCGAUGCUUCUGCUAGGAGUUCCGAGAGGAGGGAGGGUAGCAGGGAGAAGCAACAACGGGACCAAGAGGAAAAGGCUUCAGUCAGGAGGACAGAUGAGGUUUAUGCUGAUGAAAGUGGUGGUUCUCUUAGGGUUGACACAAGAGAAGCCCAAAGGGAUGAUAAAUCAGACAGAGGGAGGGACAGAAGUUGGAAUGAGAAAGCCCGAGAUCUUGAAGGGUCUAAGGAUUAUGGUAGGAACAGUCAGUUGCGAGAUCCUAAGGAGGCAAAUGAUGCUGAAUGGAGAAAUGCACAGGAAAGGCUAGAUGGUGGGAAUUUCCAUGGCCGAGGUGGGUACCGGAGAGAUUCUAGGGGUAGAUCUGAAAGUGUUAGAGGUCCCUCAACCUAUGGGAAUCGAUAUGACAAUUCUGAUUCCAUAGAGAUUCGGCCUAAUAGUAAUCUUAAUUUUGGAAGGGAGGGCUCUGCUUCUGGGAGAAGAUUUGAAGUGGGAGCACAUCGGGAUUCAGUACCAGGAGGAACUGAUGAUAAAUCCACUGAUUAUCCUGAAUCAGAUCCAAGUGGCGGCACCAGCAUGGUUUCUUCAUUUCCUCAACAAGGUCCAAAAGGUGAUAGACCAUCUAGAGGAGGAAGGGGGAGGCCAAAUGGAAGGGAUUCUCAAAGAAUUGGAGUUCCAAUGCCAAUCAUGCCUCCUCCAUUUGGUCCUCUCGGCCUGCCACCAGGACCAAUGCAGCAUAUGGGACCAAAUAUUCCGCAUUCCCCAGGUCCUCCUCUUCUACCUGGCGUCUUCAUGCCGCCAUUUCCAGGACCUCUUGUGUGGCCUGGAGCACGAGGUGUUGAUGUGAAUAUGCUUUCUGUUCCUCCCAACCUUCCCAUGCCUCCUCCAGUUGCUGCUGAACAUAGGUUUACACCAAAUGUGGGAGCUGGUUCUGGUCAUAAUAUUCACUUAAAUCAAAUAGACACUGGGUUAGGUGCUCCAACAGAUGUAUCAGGAUUGGGUUACAAUCAUAUGGGCCCGCAAAGCCGUGACAUGCUCCAUGAUAAACCAGGUUGGACGCCACAUAGGAACAGUGGACCAAACAGAAAAGCUCCUUCAAGGGGUGAACAAAAUGAUUACUCACAGAACUUUGUGGACACUGGCAUGCGGCCUCAAAAUUUCAUUAGAGAACUGGAUCUUACAAGCGUAGCAGAGGACUAUCCAAAGUUGAGAGAACUCAUACAGAGGAAGGAUGAAAUCGUUGCGAAGUCAGCUUCACCGCCAAUGUAUUACAAGUGUGACCUGCGGGAACAUGUUCUUUCUCCAGAAUUUUUUGGUACCAAGUUCGAUGUUAUUCUUGUGGAUCCUCCAUGGGAGGAGUAUGCCCAUCGUGCACCAGGAAUCACAGAUCACAUAGAAUAUUGGAAUGCUGAGGAGAUUAUGAAUUUGAAGAUUGAGGUUAUUCCCGUUUCUUUCUUCAAACCUUUCUCUUUUGGGGGUUCACUUAUGCUGCAGAAUUAACUUGUCAAAAUGUAUUUUUGAAUCAACAGGCUAUUGCAGAUACACCCUCCUUUGUGUUCCUUUGGGUUGGCGAUGGUGUAGGCCUUGAACAGGGUCGUCAAUGUCUAAAGAAGGUAGUAUAGCUGCUAUUUUUUUACUUUUAACUAGCUGGUUGCCUGUGCUGUGCAUCAUAUUUCCAUUAAAAAGCAUAUAGAAUUCUAGGCUCUAACUAUUUGAUUACAUAUAAAAUUAAGCCACAAAGGAACCACAUAUGUAUAAAGUGGAAGGCCCUCUAUGCAUUAUCUUACACACAUAGGUACACACAAUUGCCCAGAAGAUCCAUAUGUAGAACCAACCACUACUAUCACUAACUGUGCUUUCUACAGAAGUAAAGAUACUUGCACAAUUAUUCUUUUUGUAAUGACAUCCCUUUUGGGGGGUGGGAGAUUGAAAUCAGUUUACAGGAGGGCGACCUGGCUGCUAUAGUCGAUCUGCUAAACUUUACCCAUGAUGUGCUUCAUUCAUGCAUUUUGCCCUCUGAGGGAAGGCAUAGCAAUAUAAACAAUGUUCUAUGCUUUCAUUUCAUCUAGAUAUGUCUUUAAAUUUAGAGCUGUUGAUGAAAUGCUGCAUUAACUAAUAUAUGAUGAUCCUGACUGACUUUUUCUAUUUUCAGUGGGGAUUUCGUAGGUGUGAGGAUGUUUGUUGGGUGAAAACGAACAAGAAAAAUGCAACACCAAGUCUGCGGCAUGACUCACAUACAUUGUUGCAGCAUUCAAAGGUAAUGUUGUAGUUAACUAGUAUGUGUUGUAUCAUUGUGCUGCCUUGUUUAUAUUUUUUUGGAAAACAUGCCACGCUUAUAUUCUCUUAUCCCUGUAUUCUCUGUCCGUCUUAUGAAGUAUAUACUCUUUCCAUGUGCAGGAGCAUUGCUUGAUGGGCAUAAAAGGAACAGUGCGUCGUAGCACGGAUGGUCACGUCAUCCAUGCAAAUAUUGACACAGAUAUAAUUAUAGCUGAAGAACCAACUGAUGGUAUUGUUUUCUUAGGUUUUAUAUGAUCUUUAUUCCUGUUCUUCGUAUAUGCUUGUGAUAUACUAUUUGCUUUAUGACCAAGGGUUAUCAUUUUCAAUGAUGGGGUGCAUAAACUCAAUAAACUUAACUUCUCCAAAUUUUCUGUUCUGUUUUCGUUGCUGCGAUGGUAUGAAUAUUCCGGUUUGGUCCACCAAAAUGUAGUACUGUUUUGUAAAUUUGGCUUGGUUGGCAAAAACAUAUUUGUCUUGGCUUUUUAGGAAUUUGGGAUUUACAAAUUAUGUGAAGCAAAUUGUUCGUUGCUACCAUUUCCUCUGGGACAUGCUUAGUUGUUCAUGGUGAGCUUGGUGUCUUUUGAUCUACAAUAAUCAGAAUUGUGAUUAAAAAAAUGAAACUAGAUCAUAUAUUAUUGACUUUACUCAAACACCUAUAGCAAGUAUUCCGGUAGGUCUGCAUCUCUUAGUGGUAAUAUCACUAAGCCCUUAUUGUAAUAAUCAAAUUGUAUGCAUGAUUGUGAAUUAUUUUUUUCAUUUUUUUUCGUAUGGUUGAUCUUAAUGUGUUCUCUUCUGUAGGUUCAACAAAAAAGCCUGAGGACAUGUAUAGGAUCAUUGAGCAUUUUGCUCUUGGAAGGAGGCGGCUUGAACUCUUUGGCGAGGAUCAUAACAUCCGUCCAGGCUGGCUUACUCUUGGGAAAAAUUUAUCUUACUCGAACUUCAACAAAGAGGUAUAGCUGGACAUACAACAUCAUGAAUAUACUUACACACGCAAGCCCUUCUAUGCCAUCAGCUCCGCAGAUCUUUUUACAUAGUCUCUGUUAUGAUUUCUCUCUUGCAGACAUAUAUUAGGAAUUUUGCGGACAAGGAUGGAAAAGUAUGGCAAGGAGGUGGUGGUCGAAACCCUCCCCCAGAGGCUCCUCACCUUGUUGUGACAACUCCGGAGAUCGAAAGCCUGAGGCCCAAGUCACCCCCAGCAAAGAACUAGCAGCUGUGGUCAAUUUUGCAGAGCUGGCUACAUUUUUGAAACUGUAGCUUUAACGCUGUUGAAGGUCCAGCUGAGGCCUUGUGAAUUUUCCGUCCGCACAAUUAAAAUUUUUCCGACGGCUCAGUCUGGAGCAACUAUCUGUGAUGGAAAAUACGAUUCACUUUCUCCUAUUGGUGUUCUUUUAAUGCGUCCAAUACUUUUAUGCUCCUCCUUGUUGCUUCAAGGUUGCAGCCAGUAUAUUUGUUCUUGCUGCAUGCCAAGCCCCUCAGAAUAGUAAGGUUGAUUCUAAAUUCGGAUGCUCCCAUUGUGUCUGUCGCAUCGUGCAAGAAACAGAAAUUGUCUAUGCCAGUUUUGCAAAUCGUUUCUGGAACCCUGCCUACCCUGCCUACCUGAUUGAUACUAAGAUGGAGCCAUGGAUAACUAUCCGUGGUAUACAAAAACCAUUUUUAUUACGGUGUUAUAUUUGGAAGGAAUUCUCUCGAGACAUGCACGCGUACGCUUUCAGACAGGCGCCGAUUUGACAAACCCGGGAUACUGACGAUAGUUUCAGACUAAACAACUCGGCAAGGCGCUAACCUGAUUAGCUAGCAUUACGUUACAGCAUAUGUGCAACGACAGCACUGCUUUGUCCUUUUUAUCGGCCGCAACGAAGUGGAAUACCAACCGUGUGACGCACGAGUCGUUCUCGCCCAGAAGCCAAACCGGACCGUCUCGCCGCCGGAUGAUUGCAAUGCAUCUUUUUUUGAAAUGGUUUACGCGUUGUCCCUGCCGAUGGAAUCUUGCAGGGGAUGGAGAUUUUGCCGCGUGAUUCGAGGGCCACGACGCACGCUCCCAUUGCGGGCCUCCAUCAGCUUCGUUUUGGCCUGGCCCCAAGCUAAAUUAUUCGCCGAAUCUGCUGCUGCUUGUUUGUUGUACUACUACACUAAUUAGGUGAAUUUGUACUACUACACAUUUUGCUUGGAGAUGAUAGGCUUCAAUGAAUUGUCUGGAAUUAUUAUCUUGUGUGUCUCUUGUCCUCUCAUGUCGCUGUUGUGUCCUGUACUCCUGUUCUUGUCAGCCCUUUGCUUAGGAUCUUAGCAACAUUACCACUUGGCCGCGAUAUCCCUUCCGAGACAAAUCCUCUAUUAAUGGCUACAGCGACGGAUAAAGCGUAGAAAUCCGGCCAUCCAUCCACUCAUCAUCCCUUCCUCUGCAACACACAAGUCAAUACUUGGAUAUAUCUUGGUUUAAAAAAAUACUUGUAUAUAUACAAAUAUUCCAGCUGCACGCACAACACACGGCUGUACAGUACAGCCAACGUCUCUGUCCCGCUUUUCACCGUGUCUGUCCUCUCCCUCGUCUGCACUACGCUGUCAGCCAUCAAGGAAAAUCACAGUGGCACACUUACUCGGGCAUUGACCUCAGCCUGCAGGGUGAAAACGAUGGCGCCGUGCCGGGUUAACCUCUUCACAGGAUCUGAAACGGCUGCUGGAUCCUGAUGGAGAAAGAAGAAAGCACGGCACACAGUUUGCACGCUGUAGCCUGAAACAACCCUCAGGAAAACGUGCUAGUGACCCAUCGCCGUUCAGACGUGCAUGCAAAUUAUUUCGCGAGGCGAUUGAUGGAUGGCGCGCUGCACCUUCCAGGAGCCGAGUUGGUCGGAGAGAGCGCGGCGCAGGACACGAUCGGACGGCCUGGACACGAGAGAAUGGACGUGUUUUUUGUUGGGUUUCUCUUCUCCGGUGUCCCGCUCCGUCGGCUUCGCGGCGGGUUGUUGGGGUUGGGUUCGGUGUGACGCGCUCCGGAUUCUGACGCGCGCGGGUCAGGUGAGGUAGCCGGCCAGGGCUUCCCAAAUUUGUCAGGGAAUCGUACCAGCUGGGUGUCGGGUUCGAAAGAACCGGCAGGGUGAAGGCUACCACCAGCCGCUGCUGCUGCUCCACAAGAUUUCAGCGUCAGGCGGUCAGUGUAUCAGUGAUGGAUGGACGCACGUACAGUGAGCUGGGCUCCUGAAGAAUCAUGAGCCUGCCUGGCUGAAAACAGCUCGCAUCGCGUCCUGCUCUGCUCCUGUGCGCGCGUGUUCGAUCGAGAGAAAAAGGAAGCAUAGUAUUUACUAACGGUAGUAGGUAAUGGAUGUGUGGAUCGAUGGAAAUGUACAGAUAGCCUUGACAUUUGCGGCCACAUCUUGCAAAAAUAUCUUCUCAACACUAAGGUUGCACUGGACUGAAACGUGAACUGGGUGUGCAUAUCUAUCUAGCUUGCUGGAUAGAGGGAAUGGCGUGUUCUAACUAACCAAGCUAGCUAGUUCACUUCGCGUACUACAUACAGACUAGGCCGGCACAAAGUUCCAAGAGAUAGGAUGUGUAGGGUGUAGGUCGAGUACCCAUAGCGUACAAUCUCAUGCAUAAUCAAAUCCGGUAACACUAACCAUGGAAAUUAACUUUGGGAGGAUCUGAUGCAUUCCCACGUUUGUCAAUUGUCAAAGAACCCUAAUGAUGAAAAACGUACUAUACUACUCACUGCCGAACAAAUUAAGGAAGACCAUCGACCGAUCAGCUAGCUAGCUGAAAAAUGGAUCCAAACAAGCUGCUUUUGUCAAUGCCUGCUGUUACAGCUUUGACUCGAUCAGUCGUCUUAUCGUCCAGAGUAGCUUAAAUUAAAGUACGGCAGCAAGUCAACAAGUGAGGCCAUCACACAGGUAACGAUGAACCGCUUUAUCUUGUACGUACAUCGGUACAUGUACAUCACCCAGCAGGUGCCACGCAUACCACGAUCCCAAAAACCCUACUACACGUCGUACGUACGCGAGCAACAGUGUCCAUGCAUGUAUCCAUCGAUCUCAACAUCUGGGAAAUGCUUGUGUGGUCGUCUGUGCUCAUGGUCCAAAGUCCAAGCCGUAGCCUUCAACCGAUCCCUAGCGGGAGAUGAUUGAGCAGCGACCAUUCCACUGCUGUUGCUGGGGAAAGCGUCUCAGUAUCGGUUUCUAACCCCCUUUUAUUACUGGUUGUGCAACCGGUAUUGCUACUUCGGUACUAAAGGGUCCCCUUUAGUACCCUUUAGUACCGGGUCAAACAACCGGUACUAAAGGAUAUUAAAAAAAUAAAAAAAGAAAUCCGGCCGGCCGCCUGGCCCUGCAUCCCGCUGGCCGCACCCGGCUGCCCCGCCACCGCGCCUCGUUGGCGCCAGCUACCCCUCCCCCGCGACCCGCAUCCCGCUGGUCGCACCUCGCUGCCCCGCUGCCGCCUGCCGACAUCUGUGGCCCCACUAGAUCCGGCCGGCCGCACCUCGCUGCCCCGUCGGUCUGGCAGCCGCCAGAGCUUGGAGCGCCGGAGCUUAGGCACGGUAGGAGGGAAGGGAGGUGCGGGGGAGGGAGAGGGGCGUGGUGGCGCCGCCGCCGUCAGCCCCGGAGCAAAAAAGAAAAAAGAAAAUACCUAUGCCCCGCGCGUCGCCGCGUCCGGCCUGCCGCAGCACCCCUGCACCCCGCCGCCUCCGGCUGGCCGCUGCUCCCCCGCGCGCUGCUGCACCCCCACACGUCACCGCUUCCCUGCUGCCGCUCCUCACUGCCCUGCACCUCGCCACGCUGCCGCUACUCACUGCCAGUGAGGGACGAGUAGAGGGGGAAGGGGAGGGGCAGCAGAGCUGGCUGGCGAUUGAGCAGAGAUUGGGGGAGCGAGAGAGGAGGGGGUGAGGCCUGCGGCGGGAGAGGGGGCGGCUGGGGAGAAGAGAGAAGGGGAAGAGAUAAGUGUGAGAGAAGAGGAGAUAAGUUUGAGAGAGAAGAGAUAAGGAGGCGGGUGGGCAGUUAGUACCGGUUGGGAGCUCCAACCGAUACUAAAGGUUGCACAUUAGUACCAGGCUCAGGCACAUUAGUACCGGGUGCAGACUCCACCCGGUACUAAUAGGUGACCUUUAGUACCGGUUGGAGCCAACCGGUACUAAAGGGGUCACGGGAGGCUCUUGGGGAACUAGCCGUUAGACACGGUACUAAUGCUCAUAUUAGUACCGAGUCAAAAAUCAACCGAUACUAAGGGUCAGAACCAAUGCUCAGUUUUCCAGCCAGCGAUUUGAAAGUGAAGCCGCAGCAUAUGAUGGAGUGCUGGGAGAGCGAGAGCAUUACAUGUGCUGAUAGAUGGUGUGAAUGGAGGGAAGACUUCGCAGGGAGCUAGCGAGCUAGCUGCAUGCCGUCGAAAUCGAUCGGAGGACCAUGGUUUCGUGGCGUGCAAUUAUUUUGGCGAGGCGACUUGUGAACGCAUUCAAUGCGCGGGCACCAUCUACUCCCAGUAUAGCUAGCUUAUCGACGACGUGCAUCAGUGCCUGGCUGCAACUGGCAUGCUGUACGCACUUGCAAAUCGUAACGCUGACAAUUCGGUGUACUAAGUGUAUCUACAUCUAUAUAUAUCGGUAGUAGGUCGAAUAGGAGUAUAAGACACAUCAAUUACAUCGUACAGCCAACAGAAUUGGUGUGAUAUAUAACACGUGAGUACGUGACAACAAAGACAACCACUCUGUCGUCUGAAAUUGCAAGGGUGGUUAUUUCAAUUCUUUAGAAAAAAGGAGCAACCAUUAUUCUACUGCCACAUAAUUUUUGCGAUACAAGGUUGAUGCUAAUAGAUUUAUAUUUAAAAAAAUACUUUCUUACAAAUACACAUUUAUAUUAUGUAAACAACAUAUUAAUAGAGUAAUUGUUGGAUAUACAUAACUAUCUUACUAGAACAUGAAGCUUCAAUCAUGUUCUGAAGUCAAGAGCAGUUAAAACGGAGGAAAAACUGCAGUACACGACGAGGCCGUGGACGAAAUCAUGCAGCUGCUUUUUCAGUGUUGAGGUGAUAUCCAAAUACACGCAUUGAAACUCGUGGGGACGAGCAUCCAUAAAUGCCUUCCCACCUGGACAAGCACGCGACCUCGUCCGCUUGCCCUUGAUCCUACCGAAUUAUUUUUUUAUUUUAACCCUUUUACAUCUAAAAUUUUGAAAAUAACCCCACCCAAUCUAAAUUACCAAAAAUUAGCGCUUUUGGUCGCGCUAAAAGAUGCGGUUCGACUUAUAACAGAGUCACGCCACAUACAAUGGUGUGACUAAAAUACCACAAUGGUGCGGUCACGCCAGCAUGUAUGGCGUGACCAGCGUCGAGCUGGUUGCAGGUUGCUAGCCUGUGUAGUAAGUGCAAAAAAAUCAGUUCACUUAACCUUAUUUCCUUUUAUACUUUAAUUAGCUAAUCAGCACUUAAAUUCUCCAAACUUGAUAGACAUAAUACAUAAAGUAUACAUGUUCCAUUUUAAGUGCUUGCACUCCAAAAUAUGAUGUAAAUAAUGAAAAAUCCUAUUUCAAAAUAGUCUAAGAGUUAUUGUUUCCCAAGUGGCUGAAAUGUCUGUGUUGUGGAUAUGUUAUCAAAUAGCCAUGUUGAGGGGUGUGGAUUUUUAGAUUUUGGCCAAACACUCCAAAUUUGGACAACAUGAAAGUUGGAGUAGAAAUUAUACACAUUGUCAUAGAAAGAUUAUGGUUCAACGAUCUAGAGCAAUGAGAGUUCAAAGAUCAAGUCCAAGGUUGCAAAUUAUCCCAUUUUCAGCCUCGACGGGAAAUCUCACCGAGUCCUGAAAACAGUGAUAACUAUGCUUCUUUGGAUUAUGUUUUAAAAAGAUUUCAUGUAUCAACUUUGGUUCACCUGAAAAUUGAGUAGAAAUAUCGGGAUUUGGGAAGUUAAGAAGGACCAAAACGGAGACUUGAUUAUUUAUUUUGGAGCCUAAAGUUUGAACUUAUCACUAUUUUUAACCAUGACAGGAUAUCACCGAAACUCUGAAGCUAAGCUCGAGAUCACUUAACCUAUUUAUAAAUUGGAUACUUCAUUUUAUACACCAUAUUUUAGAGUACCAACACUUAAAAUGGAACAUAUACACUCCAUGCAUUAUACCUGACAAGUUUGAAGAAUUUAUGAUCUCAUUAGCUAAUUAAAAUAUAGAAGGAAAUAAGGCUACUUAGAAAAAGGCUAGCAAGGAGCUUGUCAUGCCAUACUUUGGCGUGACUGACCGUCACACCACGCAACUUGGCACGUCAGCCCCACGUGGUGACCGCGCCAUCAUGGGAUUUUAGUCACACCAUUGCAUGUGGCGUGACUCUAUUAUAAGUCGUGCCACGGCUUUUGUGACUGACCGUCACACCACGCAACUUGGCACGUCAGCCCCACGUGGUGACCGCGCCAUCGUGGGAUUUUAGUCACACCAUUGCAUGUGGCGUGACUCUGUUAUAAGUCGUGCCACGGCUUUUGGCACGACCAAAAGCGCUAGUUUUUGCUAAUUUAGAUUGGGAGAGGUUAUUUUAAAAUUUUAGAUUUAAAAGGGUUAAAAUAAAAAAAUUCUGAUUCUACCGGGGUCGGAAUGGAUAGAAUUUAAUUUGGUCAGGGAUCCAUACUGCCAAUAAUCAUACAACUUGGAGCACUUUGUUUUGGAGCUACAGUACUACUAGAACUCGAGGGCAGUCGCAAUGGCAGUCAUCUCCAUGAUCGCACCGUGAGAACUCGAGGGCAGUGCACAUGCCGGUGUUGGCGGAUUCACAUUCAGAACUUUCAGAUGAUGAGGUUCCGGCAUGAACGAAGGGAUUAGGCAAAAGCAGUAAGGGGAAGCAGGGUUGGAGCUAGAAAGCCAUUUUUCCGUUUUUUUUGGGGGGGGGGGGCGCAAUUUUUCUUCAAAAUUUGAUCAAAUUCAAAAAUUUAAAGGACCAUGACUAAAGAAGGCAGAUUCUGAAAUACUUCUGGAAAUAUAAGGUUCAUGUUAAUAAUAGAUUCAUCAUGAAAUACACUUUCACAAUAUAUAUAUAUACAGCAGUCAUUUCUAUUUAAAACAACAGUACAGUUUUUACACAUAUUUUUUGAGCAAAUGUUUUUAUAAAAUAUUUGCACAGUUAAAUUGACACAUAAGAGAUCGCGUCGAUGAUGUCUAGAUGAACUUAUAUUAAUGAUCAAGAUGAGCUAUUAGGAAAGCGGGGGAGCAUACACGAAGCGAAACAGAAUCUGGUUGAGAUGGUGCCAAUAGCAAAUAUUUAGAUAUGCACACUGAGGCAUCGAUCCCUACUAAAAUUAUCAGAUAAAGAGCAAACAAAAUUUCCUACAUUUAGCAUAUCCAAUCAAUCGAUCGUCUAUAUCAUAGAGCAAUCAUCAGAGCCGUCGAGAUGACCCAUUUGAGCUCAUUACGACAAGACCGAAGAAAGGAAAAUAAACCUAUCAACUUCUUCUAGGUCGUACUACAAAAAAAGUUUGUUUAACAUUUGUAUCGUUUAAGCAAGAGCAACAGCUAGCAUGAUUGAAGCUUCCUUGCUUUUUGCCGUUGCGGAGAUGACGUGGUGCUUAAUGUGCUAAUUAACAUUGGACAGCAAAGAUUGUUAGAUUAUCACAAUCUCAUCAGCUCCCUCCUCCUCCUCUGCCUUCGUUCGCACGCCUUCGUUCGUACUUGGAACCUAGGAUACACAUACACGCAUCUAUGCUGUGCCUAUGCGUGCGUCAACCGAUCAAAAUUCAGCAAAUAAUUAAUACCGGGACAUGAUUAGCAACGAUUAUAAAGACAUUUUACUGCAUUGAUCCUUCUCUCUGCCAGCCGGUCAAAUAUCCAAUCCGAACGAACGUCGUUGAUCUGAUGCAGUGCCAUCAUGCUCGCUUUACGGGGAAAAAAGCGCAGCCAUCCACCAGUUCAUGUUCAUCCAUGGAUAGAUUCUGCCGCAAUGCAGGCACGGAUUAUCCUUCCUCAUCCAUAGCAUUAAGAUGGUCAUCUUCCCCAUUAUCUAAAAAAAAAGAUGGUCAUCUUCCCCGGCCGGCCCUGUUCAUCGGCUCUUCCAGUUGAACAGUCCCGGGUCCCCCACCAAACACAAAGCGAUAAUCCAACGCGAUUAGUUAGGUAAACCACGCGUUGUUAAACCUUAAUGAGCCCGCCUGACUUUUUUUACCCGCACCACGUACCCAGGGUGCGCAACGCACGCAUACGACCGGCCGACGGCGACACGGCUGCGGAUGGAUUGGGCGGACGGCGACGAGCCAACCGUCCUGGCUCGUCCCCGGCGAGAAAGGGAUCGGAUUCAUACGAGCUAGUAGCUCUUAAGCUGUGGUGCUGCUGCUGCGAAUGAAGCUGCGGCGUCGCUGUCGGCGUUAACAGGGCCGUGGACCGGUGGCGUCCGUACCUACAGAGAUCGCGCCCCGGCGGCAGAUCGAUUCAUGGAGCUGCUGGCAUUAGAAAAAAGAGCGCGGGCGCGGCGAGCCUUUGGUGGCCGCACACGUACGUCGCCCGCCGCGCCGCGCCGCUUAUUUAAGCCCGGCGUCGUCUGCCUCACUUCACCACCACCACCAAGCAGCCGCAGCCAUCCACCGGCCUACCAGCGCAGCGCUGGACGUAUAUAAACAAGCCUGGCCGCCUCGUACCAACUACGAAGCAGGUAGGCGCGCGCACGACAGAUUGAGCACCGUGCGCUCGCCAGCACAAGAGAGUUUGGUGCCGUGUUGGGCGGCAUCGGUCGGUCGGCCGGCCGGCGGCCAUCAUAUCGGAGGAUAGUCAGCAAGGCGCAAGCUGAAGAGCCGGCUGCUACGCGGAAUCGGGGCAUUGUGUAAGUUCCUUCUGUAUAUCUCAACUCCUAGUUCGUCCGAUCCUUGCUGGUUCUUGCUUUGCUUUCAGGCAUGAAUGGUAAGAUAGGGAUGUGUUAUGUGACAUGAUAUAUAGCAAGGUGCACUUGCCGCCGGCCUGCUAGGUUUGUAUGCAUUUGUAUCCGUGAGAAGGAACGCUUUCAUAACGUACAUAUGCACGUACGCGUACCUACCUUUCUUUUAUUUGACCUCGUAUAUGUGUGUAGUACUCCGCAGCUUCAGCCUUCAAUCUCUUUCAUCAGUCUAUCCCCUGAACCGAUCGUCAUCAGAGUAGAUGAUGGUGAUCUCGAAUUUGAAGCCGGCCGGUCUGAUAAGUACAAAGUACUAGUAACUGGAGUAGCCAAAGAAGCGAGCGAGGAGUAGUGCACAUGUUUCGAAUCCAGCGUACGUACACAGCAAGCAGUCGUCGCGGCUGGACUGAAACGCUCAUGUGUGCAUACGCGCUUGACUGUACUCGGUGCGCAUAUAUACGUACGUCUCGGUAUGUGCAUGCGCGAACAAGUUGCAGCACUACAUGACAUAUCCUGAACUAAAGCCAGAUCGCACUAGUAUAGAUCGUACAUGCAGUAUAAAUAGUUGCAGCACUAGAGUAGGAGUAGUUCAUAGUGGAGACUGGAGAGACAUGGGUGCAGUACUGGAGCCGGCACUACCAGAACAGCAUGCACUGGUCGAUCGCCAGCAACUUGGGACGGGAUCACGGGGACACGCACACGCAUACGGCAUACAUGUCGCCAGGGCCAGGGCAAUGAGCUAGCGCCCGGGCAGAACUUGUUGGAAGCGCGAGUACUUCAACAUCCCCGGCUCCCUGUCAUCAGUGAAUUUUCGAUCCAAAUGGGGGCACCAAUCAUCCAUUCACAAUAUUUGACAAGUCAGCUCGAAGAUUUUGUGCACAAAAAAAGAAGAAAAAAACAGCAUCAGCCACAGGUACAGUAACAGUGCAAAAAAUCAACACCAUUUUUUACGUUUUUUUUUUCUGUCAACACGGGAUCACUGCGGUGGUAGCUAGGUAGGUAGGCGUAGUUAUUUUGAGGAGAAUCAGAAGGCAUCGAUGAUGUGUCCUGGGCGGGCGGAGCAACCGUGACAGGCAGCAGAUCGAAAUCGAACCGAAGCUUAUCCCUGAAACAAGUUGACAACCCGGGCCUUUUUUCGCGGUGUUCCUUGAAGCUGCUGCUGCGAGUCUGCAACGAUCAACUUUUUAUAGCUCCCAAAGCGACGGCCACGAAAAAACCUGACACCAUCUUAUCCUAUCCCCCUCUCUCUUUCCCAGCAUGUGAUUGAUUGCACGGACGCGGGCCUCAGUUGGGCCAAAAGCCCGGACUUGGUGGACGGCUGGAUGUUGGUGUCGGUCGCAGGCUGAUCCGAUCGAACGGUGAUGCGUAGCCCUGAUGCUGGCUGUUGUGCUGCAGCAACUUGCGGUACUUGUAGGUGAAUUGUCCCGGUCUGAUGUCGUUAGGGCACUUAUGAAACACACCACAUGACCUUGUCUUCAAAUCAAAUCAGACGACGCGCGCGGGCGAUUAAAUUUGACGCCGCCGCCCUAGCUAUCUGGGGGAUGGAGGCAUCAAGCUCUGCAUCUCGUCUCUGAUCGAUCACUGUUCUAGCUAGGUUUACUGGCAUGCAGUGAAGCCACAGGACAGUAGGCUAUCUAGCUGGUCGGCGUUGCUGACAUGCAAGUUCAGGGCUUCCAUCGGUGGCCACUUGCCAGUGUUUUCUCUUUCAGUUCAUGGGUCUGGCACUUCCAAGUUUCCAGCAGUGUAGUGUGCCACUAGGCUCCGUGCUCUGCCUUUUGUUUAGACAGGGUAGGUCAUGUGCCCAAGCUAAAUUAUUUUUUUCCUUCAUCUGAUCUGUGGCUGUCCACAAGUUUAUUGACACGUGGCUCCGCUCUUUGCCACUAUUGAGACUGCAAAUCUCUUUAACAAAAAUACAAGCAGAUGACAGAAGGCACCAUCUGAGGGAGCACUGUUACUAGUGGACACUGUACUGGGUCUAACCGCACUUUUAAGACCUCAUCACAGCUGAUGCCACUAACGUCAACCCAUCCCUGUCAGUCAGUGCAACCGACGCUUGAUGAUGAGCUAGACUAGAAAUAAAGCUUCGUUUCAAGUGCCGGAAUUUUCUCUUAUUCCUGUAGGAGUGGAUCAUAUUUUUCUUCUUUUCCAAGCAUAUGUCCUUAUAACUAUGACAGGUUCCUUGUACAGCUCCUACCAAAAUCUAAAAUUGAUCAUUGUCCAUAGAAAUCCUAUUUUUAUUACACCGAAAACAUGUCGCAUAGGGUGGUAAUGGAUCAUGGCCCCAUAUCUUCUUCACAAUCCAAUUCAGCCCUACGUUCAAAACCAUAUCAUAUUAUGUGAUCCGAUCUUUAUUGAGCCUGAUCCUUUACCUCUCCUAAGUAGUAGGAGUACUCCUAUUUCCUCGUAAUCCCAAUAUCUCCUUUUUAUUCUCCAGAAAAGAUUUUUCAUAAUUGCAUUUAUUCCCCGGACCGGAUAUAUACCGGGGGACGUAAAGCAAUCGAUAUUGAUAGCUGCCCUCUAGUUUUGUCGCUUCAACCGGACGCGUUUUCUUGGAUCUGAAGAAAUGGGCACCAUCAGCAGGAAUCCAAUUCAAACAUCAGUCAGCUGGGCAAACUCCCACGCGCUAAAUUCCAAAUCUGAAACAUCAAAAAUCUGGGUUCCGUCUCUAAUCGUAGUUCUCUCAGGAACCGAAUAACGGAUUCACUAGCACGGGAAAAGGAAAAAUGCUAGGUGUACUCUGAUGACAACAGCUCCAUACGAAAAUUGAACCAGUACCCAACACAAAUUCGACCGUUACUUUCCAUGACAUGCCCCUUUUAGAAGUCGACCAAAGUUUGGUGAUGUGAGGGCAUUUUUGCAUGGCAAAUCUAUUAGUAGUCUCCUUAUCCAUAUUGCAAUGUAUAGUUUCAAUAGAAAAUGGUCUUCAGAAAUUAUUUUUUAUGUUUAUUUUCUCAUACAAUAUAUUUUCAAACUUAGGAUUUUGCACCAGAAAAACACCCGAUCCUAUAUCCCGAAAAGAGUCGCGAGAGGAACAUGAACUUUUUUAUGUUUGCGACGCUCAAUCUAGUCCCAACUUACUAAAAAGAUUGUUCACGAUACAAAAAGAAGAGCAAUUCCUUCACAAGAAAGCUAAAUAGGCUAUCCAUGAAUUAAUCCAGUUUAUUAGAUGCACUUUGAUCCACGAAUUAAAAAAAGGUUAUCCAGGUACAACCUGUCCAUAUAACGUUCAAGUAUAGUCGGAGACAGUAGCGAAUUAUGUUUCUAUACUUAGGGUACGUUUGUUUUCCUCCUAAAUUAUAUAAGUUGGAUUAUGGUCCAAGGGUAGGAGGAUAAAAAAUCAUCAUCGGACCGCUAGAGGAUCACAAAUAAUCUGAAAUAAGCUAGCCUUGGAUAGCUUAUUUCAAAUUAUACAUGGUCCCAAAGUAAUAUUUUACCAUAGUACCCAUGACCCAUAAUCCAACUUAUUAUAAUCCCAAAUAAACAUGGCCUUACAGGAUCAGAGAACAAACAUAUCCUCUAGACGAAAAUAAUCACCCAUUACCCAAAAAACGGGAGCUCCGGCUGAGUACGCGUAGUAAAAUGCCAUCCUAGAGCCCCACUGCAUGUGGAACCCUUGACCCAAGUCCACCACAUCCCGUGAAAGCGGAGGAGGCACUGCCCUCCCCCACACGCCCGCCCACACGGCUCCCAUGGCGACGCGCCCCUAUUUAGCCGCCCCCACCUCCAUGCCUCCAUGCCCACCACCGCCACUUUAUUCUCCCCUCCGCUUCCACCAAUCCACCACCUCGUCCUCCUCCUCCUCUAGCAGCCUGGCAGCACUGUGGACUAGCCGCCCUCCCAUCCGAUCCCCUACUCGAAGGUGAGCAGCCCUGCGCCAUGCCAAAUUUCUCUCGCAAUCCGAUCGUAGCGUAGCACACAAAUACCCCUUAUUGAUACCGGUGCCUUGCGUGGAUUUGUGCCGGAUCUUCUGUCUUCGGUAAGGCCGGCUCUAAUCCACUGCAAAACCAGUUUGAUCUGCACCGAAAUCUUGUAGGGGGCAUGUAGGGUUCUAGUGUUUUACCUGCUUGUUCUAGUCGUAGCAGCAGCAGCAGCAGCUGUCCAAAAUCUUGGGAUCCUUUUGGCUUUAUUUGUACUAACUGUGUGAAAGCUCUGUAUUGAUAAAGGCUUUUUUUUCUCUCGCUUGAAUUGUUGCAGGAUACACCGUGAGUAGGCGUGAUGGUGCUUGAUACCAAUACGUGUUCCCCGUUUUCGUGCAGUCUAACAUCGUUUCAUGCUAAAUCGCAUUAGUUUAAUGGGACGAAUACACUACUUCAUUUGAGAUCAUUGCACAUCCUUUAAGAUUUUAUUCUCUUUUCUUUUUUUAGCAAUAUUACUUUCUAGCUCUUUGGUUUAUGUCCAACAUUUUUGUGUCUGCUCCAAUUUUGCAGGGUCUUGAGUUAAUUGGUUGGGCAAGGAGGUGGUUGAUUCCAGCAGGACCCUUCUCGUGAGCCUAGUCUGACCGGCCUUGGUAUUUGGGGGUUGUUCUGUACUCUCUUUAAUUUGUGAGUUGUGACAGGUUCUUGAAGUGCAAUUGUUAGAGUUUUAGUUGUAGCAGAAGAGAGAAUUUGCUAAUAUGGCGUUGGCAGGGACUUCCAAAGUAGUGCUGGGAUGUAUCGCCUUUGGGAUUUUCUGGGUGAUGGCUGUCUUCCCCACUGUCCCGUUCAUGCCUGUUGGACGGACGGCUGGGUCCCUCCUUGGUGCUAUGCUAAUGGUCCUGUUCCGUGUCAUCUCCCCGGAGGACGCAUAUGCUGCAAUUGACCUCCCGAUCAUCGGCCUGCUCUUUGGGACAAUGGUCGUCAGCAUCUUCCUUGAGAGGGCUGACAUGUUUAAGUACCUCGGUAACCUGCUCUCAUGGAAGAGCAGAGGUAGCAAGGACCUGCUCUUCCGAGUUUGCAUUGUGUCUGCCUUUGCAAGCGCACUUUUCACCAAUGACACAUGCUGUGUCGUGCUCACUGAAUUCAUCCUCAAGGUUGCUAGGCAGAACAACCUACCACCACAGCCUUUCCUUCUGGCCCUUGCCACUAGUUCAAACAUCGGCUCUGCUGCGACGCCGAUUGGUAACCCUCAGAACCUUGUCAUAGCAGUGGAGAGUGGGAUUUCAUUUGGUCAGUUCCUGCUAGGAGUUUUCCCAGCAAUGAUUGUUGGGGUUCUGACAAAUGCUGCUAUCCUCCUUUUGUACUUCUGGAAAUACCUGUCUGUGGAGAAGGAUCAGGAAGGUGGGCAGCCAGAAGGGCCAGAGGUUGUUGCCGACGAUGAGGUUACCUCACAUCGGUUCACACCGGCUAGAAUGUCACAUGUUUCUUCCCUGAAUCCAGAUGAUGUGGAUUGCAUAAGUGAACCAAUCAUCAGGAGCAACAGUGUCAGUACCAGUGUGAAUGAGAACCUGAGGAGCAGAAGCAUCAAUUCUGAGGCUGACAUUCAACUCGCCAUCAAGUCUCUGCGGGCAUCGAGCAUGUCACACGAGAUGGUAGAGGUCUCGACGGUUCCUGAUAGGAGAGAUGAAGGUGCAUCCUCAAGGAAGUUCACUAGAACUGCUAGCCAACAAAGGAGUGUGAUAAUAGAGGACCUGCCACCCUCCCCUGACACCAAUGGGGAAAAGGACAAAGAAGCUGAAGUUGCAGAGAAAAGGUGGAAAAUUCUUGUGUGGAAGACUGCUGUUUAUCUUAUAACUCUCGGUAUGCUCAUUGCACUUCUAAUGGGGCUUAACAUGUCCUGGACUGCAAUUACUGCAGCUCUUGUUCUUCUGGCACUUGAUUUUACAGAUGCACAGGCUUGCCUUGAGAAGGUAUGUUCCUCAAAUUUUGAUCAAUGCUUAGAGAGUUGAUACUUUUCUUAGCAUGAAUGAUGAUCAUCUUCUUGACUUGCAGGUGUCAUACUCAUUGCUGAUCUUUUUCUGCGGGAUGUUUAUCACGGUUGAUGGUUUCAACAAAACUGGCAUCCCGAACACAUUAUGGGAGUUAGUGGAACCAUAUUCACGAAUUGAUAGUGCCAAAGGUGUUGCACUUCUUGCGGUGGUGAUUCUUAUCCUUUCAAAUGUGGCCUCAAAUGUUCCCACAGGUACUUUUUCUCAAAUUGAUUUCUUUUGGGCACUAUUGGAAAUUUUAUGAACACGGCCAUCUGUAAUCAUUUAAUACUUUAUAACAUAUAUGCUAUUUUGUUUAAGAAAUCUGUUAUAUUGGUAUUUUAGAGGCUGUGUGCUCAUAUGGCCUUCUGGUCUCUCUGUUCUUUUCUGGUGCCUAGCAUGAUUAAAGGAACUGGAAUAUUACUCUAGCAUUUGGUGCGCAAAACUGAAAUUUGUACAUCAUUUGCAAAAUUUGUACAGAAUUAAACUGAAUUGCCACAACAAUUCAUGAUCCACAAAGAGGAACACUGACUUUAGUAAGACUUAAAAUAUUUGUAGUGCUUUAUCAGAGUACUUUCUGUGCUGUAAAACAUUCAACCCUGAGCCUAUAUUUGUGGAAAGUAAUCAUGGAAGUUAUAUUGUUCUCACAGAAAUAGGUUUGAAGGCAUUUAAUUUAUCCAAACCAGAGAUCUAUAUAUUAUACUGAACUGAGCAACUUAUGGUCUUUUAGUCUGUACUGUACUUCAGAACUCAGAAGUUUGCGAGAGUAAUUAGAUCCAGCAUGUUCAUCCUAUAUCGGAACUUUUCUUUUCUUUUUUCAGUAUUGUUGCUCGGUACAAGAGUGGCUGCAUCAGCUGCCGCAAUUUCUCAUGGUUCAGAGAGGAAGGCCUGGCUCAUUCUUGCAUGGGUCAGCACCGUGGCUGGGAACCUCACCCUCUUGGGUUCCGCCGCGAAUCUGAUCGUGUGCGAGCAGGCCAGGCGAGCCCAGUUCUUCGGCUACAAUCUCACCUUCUGGAGCCACCUCCGAUUCGGGGUGCCAUCGACCAUCAUAGUCACGGCGAUCGGGCUGCUCAUCGUCAUCAGUUACUGAAGUCAGCUGAAGGCAGGCGAUAGUGUACGAGAAGCAGAACGGAUAAAUCCAUCCAAUAAGAAAUCACAUGUAAAAUAGGCUUGUAACUCUCGUGUGUGUGUCAGUAUGUGUAUGCCUCCGUCUGUGUUCUUGCUCAUUUGGCGCUGCUAGCAGACUGCAGAUAGCUGACCGUGUAGCCUGCAUUUUCAUUCCUGAACGGAUGUUGCAAAUAGGGUUAAUGAAGAACGGUAUGAUAAUCUGAUUGCUGAUUUUGUGUUCUAGAUGCUUAACCGUGAGUUUCUCCAAGCUUGUGUUUCGAUUUCUGGAGCAAAGCGUUUAAAUAGUUCGUUUCCGAAGCUGAAACUCUGUUAACUUCUGCUUUCAAAUAAAAAAUCCGAAAGUGAAGUUUGGGCAAAAAUUGGAAGCAGCCCAUCACCUCAUUGGGCUUAUUGUGCCCAACAGCUAUAACUUUCGCCCACCCACCACUAAGCCUAGGCCCAGCGGAGAGAUCCUUUGCAGUUCGCCCAUUCCCGCCGCCGCCGCCGCCAUCGUCAACGCCGACAGGUCCACGAGCGCGGCGCCCGCGGCGAGAGGAUCAUCCUUCUCCGCCGCGAUAGAAGUGGACGCGGAGAGGCCUCAGUUCGAGCCUUCUUCGAGGCGCUGAUGCCAAGCGAGAUGAACGGCGGGAGGCCCCAAUCCCGGAAGUAGCCAGUGCCGAUCCACCGGUUCGCGCCGCUGUAGAGGUGUCGGAUGGAGAAUUGGAGAUAUACACUCCCGUCAACGGGUACAUGAAAAUCGACAUCCGCAUGAACCUUAAGGUGCGUGGCGUGACCUUGUGAUUUGCGCUUGUGCUUUUUUAUUUGAGCGUGAAAAGCGUCUGGAGUUGUGGUUAUCCUUGCAUCAUGGAUUAUAUGAGUCUGCAAAUCCUUAAUAGUCCAUUAGACAACUGUUCGUGUAAUUUUGUAGGAUGAUAUCCCAACGUAGAAGGUGUAUAUUUGACGAAUGCUCAUAUAAGCUGAAGUAUAGAACCAACAGUGUAGAUGAUGGUGUGCUGUUGUUAUUAUGAGGAUGGAAUUUGUGGACGGGCUGAUAAAUUCGAUCAGUGUUGGAGUAUCUGUGCUGAAGGGAUAAAAUUCAGUAGUAUAAUGGAUCCAGCUUUGCUGCGAAUCCGAAACAAGUAGUGCAAAAAAUAAUUCUAAUUGUGGAUCCCUUCAAUCACUUCUGCCUGUCAUGAACAUAGUUAUUCAGUAAGGGGUUCCAACUUCAUUUUUAAAAUGAGCAAGCACAAUUAUUCGAAAGGAUAGCUCAGUACUUGUUCACAAAUACCAUCAAUCAUUAUUUUGAUCUUCAUAGAUAUGCAUGACAACAGAACCUUAUAUUUUGAAUAAUGAAAAUACUUUCUUUGUUGAAUUGUUGUGAGCUGUCAUGACGCUUUGGCUCAAUGGAUUCCUGUAUUAUCCCCUUGUUUUUUUUUGUUUAAGUGACGAUAUCACCAAUGCUUGCAAGCCUAGACCUCCUGACUACUGUUUCCUGAACGAAUUGUCAUUAUUUUAUUUCGUAUUCCUUAACCGCUCUGCUGUAUGGUUAGGCCAUUUCCUACGAAGCAAACCCAUUAAAACAAUAACUAUUUCGUCUACCUCAGGCAGGAAGGGCAGAGCUGAAAACAAGCAAGGCACACCUGACGUGAGCAACCUGCAGAAAUGCUUGGACUUCUUCGUGCAUGCAUUCAUGCUUGGAUUCGGCAUUCGGAUGCCAUCGCCUUACGACCUUUACGUGGAUUCAUUCGAGGUAAAAGGACGUGAAGAGGCUCCGAGGGGAAGGUAGGCAAGACCAAGUAUAUGCCGUCGAGGACUCGACCAGGCCAGGACGCGGACUGUUAUCACGGACACGGAGAUCCAUAUCCUUGGGUCCUUUCAACAUUGUGAUCGAUGCCGUCCAACCGUUGCUAGCCGCGCCGCCCAAGUCCCUCGCCGGGAGGCCGCAUCCCCUGGGAUUCUACGGCCCGGCCGGAAUUGGGCGCGGGGCUUGUCAUGUGCGUGAACAAAAACAGCACCUAUGUUUCAAACUUACAAAUCACAAAACGUCCAAUGAUUUAACAACAAAGUACUUGCAGCAGCAAACUUAUUAGAAUACCAAUUCUCAUCAUCUCAUCUCAACGUAUCAAAGAACACACAUAUGCCUCUCAUGCCAACUCAUCGGCACAAUCAACCACUUCACAUAUGGAUCAAUAGCAAGUAAGAUGGUGACUUAAUCAACACAUAUGGCAAGAAAAAUACCAAAUCAAUAGUAGACACCAAGAUUCAUGUGGAAACCCCUUGCGGGAAAAAACCACGAGCGGCGGCAAGCAAUCCACUAUAUGAAGAAGCAAUAUAAGAGGUGGGAACCAAUAAGGAUGGGAAGCUCCAAAUCCCCUACGGAUUUCACUUUCUAUUGGAUGGAUUUGGUGGAUCUAAACCUCUCCUCUCCUUAACCCUAACUCUCGUCCAAGGUGGAAGAACAUAAUAGAAUACUCUGUUCCUAUUCGAGUUGGGCUGCCCUUAAAAUAGCAAACUUGUAAAGAGGUUCCAAAGUUGCAGAUUGUCACAAACAGCCCCAAUUUCAAUAUACAACAUGUAUAGGCAAGGUUUGCCAUAACAAAUGAGCUAAUGGGCUUCCAAAUUGAUGAAAUUAGGAGCUGGACAUCAGGCACAGGGUUGGCAAAGCUUCGCGCGCGUGCACGCACGCCCAUUGGAUGGAAUUGGCACUUGGCAGAUCAGUGAACGUCCUGUUCGCUGCCGUACGUAGCUAGCUGUGUGACCGCGUCUGUGUGCACGGCGUGCAUGCAUGUGCAUGGCACGCAUCGGUUCAAUUAUUUGCACCGUCAAGUACUUGCAUUGGUUCUUUCUGCAUGCAGUAAAUCACUCAACGCCCAAGGCGAAAAAUGGCCCCUCGGCCGAGUUGGUCGUGUCAUUUUCUUUUCUUUAGCACCAAGGGGACAGGGUGACGUGUUGCCUGAUCAUCAUCGACCCGGCGGUCGUUGCAACAUCGAUCAAAGCCUACGAAAAGGGUCCACUUUGCAUGCUACAAACGUUGACUGGGGGGCAAGGAGAGAAGAGGCAGGAAAGUACACAGCUCAGAGCUUGACGCAUCUGAUUUAUUUUCAGUCGGUUGCGUAGCUUAUAUGUUCAUCGUAUAGAUUUCUGAAACACAACAAGUAAUUUUCCAGAUAAGAAAUAAACCAGAACAGAUAAAUGCAUGAUAGAAUAUAUCUAUGGGACCAAGUAUUUUCUUAAGUGUUUGAAAACAAGAUAGAUUUCACCGUCAAUCUAUGUGAUAGUAGCGCGCGGAACAAUCACGACACGGGUGGAGUACGUAUACACUGGAAGGAUAGCCACAAGAUAUGGCAUGACAUACGCCAGGAGUAAUAGCAGGGAAAAUAAUCGUAAUAAGCAAAUCACCGUCUAAUACUAGUUUGUUUCUCUAGAUCAACAGCAACCACCAUAAUACGUAAGUAGCUGGUUGUUGAUCUUGAUCCAAGAUCCUAAUACGGCGAUCGAGCAAAUAAAUUGUUUUCAAGCACUUGAAAAAUAGCAAAAAUCAGAGGCCUACUACCAAUAUUGGUUGUGAACAAAACAAUCAGCGGAAACAAUACAUAGGAUGAUGGAUGCCGAGAUACACGGAGGCAAUCAUCAACAUCUUUGCACACAGCUUAAUAUCUCAACUUCAUAUUAUUGAUGACAGUAGUCAACGCAUUGAGGAAACCGGGUAACAAAGGAGUAGCGCGCUACAACACCAAUUAACUAAUUAUUAGCGGUACAAAAGAAGAACACCAAGGCUUAUACCACAUAUCACACCACUUCGAUCAUAAACCCCUGGAUAUUGGUACAGAUACCCAAGAACACAAGGUUCAUCCCCCUAUCUUCAUCCACGUACCCGUCAUCAAGAUACACUACCACCCCCAGAUCAGACCAGAACAAUUGCCAAAGGAUACAAGUUGCCCUACCUUAGUAGAGAGGUAAAAACACGCCGCCGUCGACGACGCCGAGGCCACGGCCGCGGCCGUCACUCCUCAACGAGGGGAGUAGCCGCCGUCAUCUCCAUGGCCACGAGCCCACGCCCCCACCCUAUAGGCGUCGUCCGAAGCGCAGCCACCCGUUGCCGAGACACACGCACGCUCCAGAAUAAGAACACGGCCACGCACCAUGACAUAAGCCUGUAGAUCUUUGCGUGUGCUGCUUGGAUAAUGUGUGGAGCUCGCGUUCCCCCCUGCCGCCGCCCUGGGCGUACGUGGGCUUAAGAGGGGGAGGAGAGGGAGCUCCCAUUGGGCGCUUUUAUUUGGACGCUUCGCUGCCUCUUUGAGGAUCCGAGGGGGCUUUCUGCAGAAACGUUUUUUCUAAUGCCAAAAAGCUCCUCGCCUACGCCUAUGCUACCUAAAUCCUCGCGGUUUUGCGCCGAACAACAACAAUUUCUCACGAACCACGAUCUGGUCCAGAUUCCGGAGCAAGCAACAGCUCCAGCUUUGCCUACCUGUUAAAGCAAAGCGAGGAGCACCAGCGUAAAGUGAUGACCACACGGGAGUGUGCACAUGACCUGAAGAAGCGUUGCCGGUGGCUUGCAUGCAAUUGUUGAGGAGGAGAGGGUGCGGACGCGCAAUCUGCCCGGGGGCGGGGCUGCGUGCCUUCCGUCCCGUGCCUGUGCAGCGGCGGGGUAUCUUCCGGCGGAUAUGCGGCGAGCAU